AUGGUAUACUAGUUAAGUGGCCCACGCGACAUGACGAGAAGAUAAUACAAUAAUAUAUUAUUAUAACUAUUAAUAUUAUUUGUUUUCUAUUAUUCAUUAAUUUUUUUAAUAUUAUUUAUUUCAGUAUUGAAUAAUUAAAAGUUAAAGAAAUAAAUUAAAGAAUGAAAUUAAAGUAUAUUUUUUUCUAAAAAUAUUUAAACUUAAUAAGUAAAAUAAAUAAAUUAGUUUAAAAUAAAAUAAAAGUUCAUUACGAUAUUAAGAAAAAUGAAUAAUAUUUUUCUAUUACCAUCAAAGUAGAAUUUAAAAAUAAAAAAAUAUUAAAAAAUUAAUUAGAGUGAAAAUACUAUUUUUGGUAUUCUUGGCGGCAAUAUUUUUAUUGUGCCUUCAUUUACUUUUAUCGUCACACAUACAACUAAUAAAGUAUUUGAUUCCUAAAUUUUAAAUUAGUGAAAAAAAUCAAUAAGUAAUUAUUAGAAGCAUAAAAAAUAAGACUAAUAAAAAAGUAUUCGAAAUCAAAAUAGAUAAUUUUUACACUGAAAAAAAAAAUCAACUACCAAAUAAAUAUUCUAAUAUUAUUAUUAUAUUAUUAUAUAAAUUAAUCUUUAAAAAAACUGUGUGAGCCUCAUAACCUUUCAAAAUAAGAAGAUGCUUUUUUUAAGGUCGCCAAUUCAUAUAUAUUUUGAGGCAUAAAGUGAAAAGUAUACAAAAUUUAGGAAUCAAAAUUGGUAUGCAAAAAGAAGUUAAAUAGAUGAUGGCAUGAUAAUUUCGUUAAUUCUGAAAUAUUUUUUAACGGUUGCUAUUUCAUCGCGAUGAAAUUAAGAGGUUUGAAAAUUUAAUUGAAAAAAAAAAAUAGGAAUCAAAAUAAAAAAUGGUAGAAAGUUUGGGGAGCACUAUGAGAUUAAUCCUAAAAAAAAUUGUGGGCCCGACAACCAUCCAAAAUAAGGGGAGCCCUUCUUUGGAUUCCCAAUUAGUGUAUUUAUAAAAUAAAUUUUAAUUUUAUUAUUAAUUUUAAAUUUAAAUUUAAAUUUAAAUUUUUUUUUAAGAACUAAAGUGAAAAAUAUAUAAAAUUUAGGAACAAAAAUUAACAUACAAAACAAAACUAAGUAGCAUGGCAAUUUCGUUUAAUUUAAUACCUCUUUUAACGUUUGGAAUAUAAUCGCAAUGAAAUCAAGAGAUUAAAAAUUUGAUUGUAAAAAAAAAUAUUAAAAACAAACAUAAAAAAUAGUUAAAAGAUUAAGAACCAAUGAUAUAAAUAAUUUUUAAUAAAAAUGUAUACGGUCGCACAGCCUCUAAAAUAAAGAAAAGGCUCGGUAGAAAAGAAAAGAAACAAAAAAAAAGAAAAAAGAAAAAGGAGAGGAGUGGGUCCCGCUGGGCCUGCCAGAUGCGGGGAGGGAUUUCCUGGGUUGCCAAUUUAUAAUUUUAUCUAAAUAUCUUUACUAUUUCAUCAAACACAAUAGAUAGUUUCGUGAGACAUUCUUAUUUGGAAUUACGUAACAAUUAAUGAUCUCUCUUUAGUUGUGGUCUUGUGGAGAGGGGUUGAAAAAAGAAAUAUGUUGAUAAUAAAAAAACAGACCCAAAACAUAUAUUAAUAGGCACAAUAAAUAAUUCAAUAGUGCAGAGGAAUGUAUAGUAAUGGCAAUUAACCAUAUAUUAAGAUCCGAAGAACCAAAAAAAAAAAAAAAAAANAAGAAAAUAAUCCAGGUGCUGGUCCUUGAUCAAUUAACUUUAUUGGUUUUGCAAAACAGAGUAGGAAAAGGCCUGAAAACAUUUCGAAACAUAAUCACAGUUUCCAAGUAUAUUUCGGAGUUUAAUUAACUUGAAAGAAAAGUCUCUAUUUCAUCUUCUAAAAAGAAAAAGGCAUGCAGUUACUUUUUUUUAUAGAUCCAAGCACAAAAAAGGUGUUCUAGAUUCCAAUAAGAUCUAAAGUUUGUGAGGCUUCUUUCUUUAUCCCUAGCUCCCAGUUACUAUUAGAAAGUUGUGGUUAAAGAAUAUAAAGAAUAUAAUAUUUUUCCUAUUGACAUUUUCCUCCAAAUAUCUAUCCAAUUGCACCUUUGAUAACAUACACUCAGUACUCCUUUUUAAUUUGCUCAGCAUCUGAUUCUACUCUCUCCCCUAUCAAUUGCACCUGGUGCACGUCGACUAUGAGCGUCGCAAUCUCAUCUUUGCCUUAGACCUCCACCACUUAAAUUUUGCAGCUUAAUAUUUCUUUUUUUUGUGGAAAAAGUACGUUUAAUUUCGUUUCAUGGGCUAGCGCAGCGCGCGUGCAGCGCAAUAGUUUUCUUUUUUUUUUUUUUUACUCACAGCUUGUUUGAAUAACACAGCGUUCUCGUCUUAUAUAGCACAGCGCUUCUCUUUCAACUGUUCCAUCAAAACCUUUUUUUCGUCAUGGAUCGACAUGCAUAUAUCCUUGUCAUGGUAGAUAGGAGAAGGGAUAAGAAGCACACAAACCACGGAAUAUCCUUUCGCUGUCCUUGGAAUGGUGAUGCCAUGGACGAUCGACGUUCGCUUCUCUCGUGGUCAUUAUUUUCUCAUGAGUUGGAUUCUAUCUUAACCCAUCAGAUUCUAGAGUUAUCACUUACCUUUCUCUUGGUGUAGAAGGAAGGUAUUAUGUUAACAUCUUAUGACUGAUGUAUAUGAUACAACCUUUGAAACACAUCAUCAUAGGGCCUUUUUUUUUUAUGUUUCUAAUUUUUCAUUUUUUCACAUUUCACAUCCUUUGGAUGCGGAGAAGUUUUGUUACAGAAGAACAAACUUUAAAUUAGAGUAUCUACUAUCUACUAUCUAUUAUUAUUAUUAUUUUUAGGUUAUCUCUUAUAGUAAAAUAUUUUGACUUGUAAUUUGGCACCGAAUAAAGAACCAGAACUAGAGUUUAGGGGGAAUGGUCACCANCGAACAAUAAAUUAAAAAAAUUAGAUUGGAUAUAUAUAUAAAAAUUAAAUUUAUAAAGUCUUACCCAUUAGACUUUGAUCAAAUAGUUAAAACUUUACAUAUAAAUGAGUUUUUUUUUUUAUAAUUGAGCUCAACUUUAUAUUUUAAUUUUGCUAGAAACGAAAUAAUAAAAAUAUACAUUAUAUAUAUAUAAUUAUUUAUUUAUCUAUAUAAAUAUAAAUUAUAUAAAUUAUAUAAAUUAUAUAAAUAUAAAAUAUAUGUAUUCGAGCUGCUCUCGAGCCGAACACAAGCGAGCUGACCUUAGCUCGUGUGCGGCUCGUUUACUUAACGAGCGAUUCGAUCUCGAGCUCAUUUCGAGUCAAACACGAGCUAACUCGCGAACAACAAGCUGAAUUGCCACCCCUAGUCACCAGGGCAUGCAGGUACACAUCAAAAUGCUGCACCAUAUCUAGUUGAUGUUGCAUUGGAUGUGAAACUACAUCUUGUUAGGAUGAGCACUAUUUGGUCGAUCCGGACUGAGUGAAAUAAGUCAGUUUAGUUCAGUUUUAUGUGUAAUUCGAUUUGGUUCAAUACUAAGAUUGAAAAACCAAUCAAAUCAAAUAGACCAAAUUAAUUAAUCAAAAUUUGACAAGUUUUAAUGUAAAAUAUGCAUUAUUAUGUUAAUCAUUAUCAUCUUUAAUUAAUUAAAUAUUUUUAACAUACAAUUAACUAUGAUUAUACCCUAUUUUAGUAGUUUAAAAAAAAUUAAAUCAAACAAAAACAUUUUUGUUCAAACCAACAAACCAAACCAAACCAACUUAAUUAUUUCGCUUUGGUUCGGUUCAGUUGAAUUCAUGCUUCUAGUUUGUUUCGCUUUGGUUCGGUUCAGUUGAAAAGCAUUGGUUGGCAACAACAUUGUCAUUUUGAACCGACCGUCCCUAGUACAAGUGGCAAAGGGUUUGGUAGUUGGUACCCGAGACCCAAAUUCGAAUCCUAUUUGAUUCAUAUUUCUAGCUAAGUUUAUUUUUAAAUAAAAUAAAUAAAACGGGUAGCGUGCUACUUAUUUCUCAAAAAAAAAAAAACUUUGUCAUUUUGAUAGUCUCUUCAUGUUGGUUCUUCUUUUUCUCUUUUUUUUAAAAAAAGUAAAUCACCUUAUAUAUCUCAGACAUUAUUGUUAAAUUUUGGUAUUCCUAGAGAAAUUGGUAAUGUUUAAUUAUUCAGUUAUUUGCAAUAAGAAGAAAGACAAAAAUUGGAAAUUUAAAAUGAGAAAAUCUAUGAUUAGAUGUGACAUUAUUUGUUGUCCUUUUUGAAGUUAAUUCAAUGCAUUAGUCAACUUAAUUAAUUCAUUUCACAGAUGCUAUUCCACGAUAUUGACUAAAUCAGGAAAAUAUAUAUUGUUUGAAAGCUCUUUUUUUUUUUAAAAAAAAUUAUAGGUAAUAAAAUGAUUGAAGAUUGAUUUGCAAAUGAUAGUUUCUUUUUUUUUCUAAAAUAACAAAAAAAUUACUUGUUUGCUAGCUGUUAAAAAAGGUUCAGGGCAAGAAAUUAUUUUAUUUAAAUAACUUAAAGAAGGAACUAACUUUUUAUAGCCAUGCAUGCAUCAUCAAAACCAUCCAUGCUCAUCAUUUCUCAUUCUAUCAUAACUUACCAAAGAAAACUACUACUUUCUCCUUUUAGGGAAAGGAAAAAUCUGAAAACAACUUAAUAUUACUCUAACCAAUUCCAUAAACUAACUAUAUGUUGAAAUAUGAAAUUCAAGCUAAGCAACCUUUUUGUUCUACCAAAAAUAGGAGAUGCUAAUCUUAUCUUUUUCAAUUCCAAAAGAACAUGCUUUGGAGCUUCCUUUUUUGUGCUGCUUUUGCAAAUUUGUCCAAUAAUAUCUUUAAAACAUAAUAGUAGGAUGCUGUUAGGUACUUUAAAUUCUUCAACUUGGCUCUUUACAUGUACUUCAAAUUAAAAAAAAAAAAAAAGGCAAAAAGACUCUUUAUACAUAUAAAUUACUCAAUUUUAUGGUAGUGGGAAUCAUAAAAGCAAAGGUAUAUAUAUGUAGGAGAGAAUCAGGUGUGCAUACACAUAUGCUAUCCUAAUGGGUUGCCAAAUAGGGUGGCAUUGAGCUCCAUCCUUUAAAUGGCUAGGAUAUAUAUAAAAGCUCUAACCAAAGUGGCAUCUUAUUGAAACCCAAUAUCAAAAGCAAGGGUACCCAAAAGAAAAAAAAAAAAACGAGAUCGAGUAAAAACCCUAAAAAAAGAGUACAUGGUAAUUUUCUUGGAUUUUAUUUUCUCGCAAGGGAAUGCAUAUAGACUCUAGAUAUGUACAACAAAAGCUCGGCGAUCCUUUGCUUAGUGUUUCUUCAGAAAAUUCUAUAACAUCAUCUCAAGGUAAAGAACAAAAGUGCAUGCAACACGCACACGCAUAAGCGUGUGCAUACACACGCAAAAAGAAUCCAUACCCGUACCCUCCUCGUAUGUAUAAAUUAUGUUCGCAUACAUGCGCGCACACUCACAUACGCAUAAAAUUGCAUGAACUACACAUUUGCGUGCGUACGUUAGGUUAUAAUUGUCAUUUUCGCACAAUUUGUUCCUCUUUUCUUCACGUACAACCAUUCAGUAUCUCCUAAAUGUGCAAAUUAAUUAAUAUAUGAUGUAUUACUGACACGAAGCACAUUUUAACCGUUGUCGUGACUAUGAUCCAACGGAAAUUAAGUUAGGCCCGACAAAAUCGAGAUUUUCUGUUGUACUCUUUAUGCUCAAGUUGUUUAAUGAUAAAAAUCUUUCACUUGAUAAUUUAGACAUGCUUUACAUUCAACCAGAAUAAGAAUAAGGUAGAUGUAUAAGUUGUGUAGAAUCUUGCAUUCUGCACUAAACAUGCGUGUAAGCAUGCAUAUAUACCAUUUUACACAUUUUCAUUCUUUGUGAAUUAGUGGAUGUAAAAUAUUAAAAAUUUUAUUUACUGAUAGUUUAAAUUAUAUGUUGCUUAUUCAUGAUAAGAGAGAACUUAACAAGUACUAUGGAACCUACAUUAUAUAUGCGUCGAACACUCGAUAUCCGAAAAGGAAAAUGGCCCGAGAGAGCUCAUCAUAUAUAAUGGAGAAUAAUGGGUAAUGGUGUGCACAAUCAUUCAAAAUAAGUAAGAAUAGAAUCUAAAUAAUGGGAAUUUGUGUCAUUAAGAGCCCGUUUGAAUGAGAAUAUAUUAAUGUAUCAAUUUAUCCGGUAAUAAUUUGUACGAAAUAAGAAUUUUUCUUUUUGUGAUUACUAUUUAAAAUUAUUUCUAUUAUCUGUUCAAAGUUUUGGCAGCUUUCAAUGAUUAGAAUAUAUAUAAUGUAUCCUACCUUGACUCUAAGAAAUUUAUAUAAAUUAAGAAACAGCUACAACACUCUAAAUUCUUGGUAAUACAUAUUACAUUCAGCAAAUAACAUUCCAUCCAUCCAUUAUAAGAUGAGCAAACACAAAAAGAAAAAAGAAAAAAGAAAAAUAUUUACAUUGUUCUCAGUCAUGACUAAAUCUUUCAUUAUCCUACUCAGUAAGAUUAGCUUAUACAAACACUAUACGACAGCAUGUCCGCUAAAAAGAAAAAACCUUUGCUUCUGAAAAUGGACAUAGUAUUAUUUGCGUAGCAACAAAAUGUUAAUGAAACAAGCAAGACCCUCGUGUUUACUCACCUCUUUUUUUUUAUAUUUAUUAAUACAUCGAUUGAGCAGUCCAAGAUUGUUACCAGCCCCCACGAGGAUCUCAUGGAAUGGGCCCACUCACUCUCCCCCCGCAUAGAAAUUUCUAUGCGGUAAAUCUCGCAUAGAAAUCGACCCCUAUUGAAAAACCAAGUGCACUCGUAUUAUUAUUAUCAUUUUCAAAUUUAAAUUUAAUUUUAGAUAAUUGUAUGAUUUAUAAUUAACUAACGGAAUUGGGGUCGCACCCAAACGGGCUCGAGAGAGCACGAUUGGGUGCCUAUUUAGGGCUACAAAUCACAGCAUCCCAUUAGAUUAAGUUGCCUUUUAUGGUGCGCUCGGCCCGUUCGCUGAACCACGCCACUGAGCCUCUUUUGCAUUCUAUUUUCAGGUGGUUUAUUUUGGAGUACAGCUAAUAUCACUUUCUUUUCUUCAAAAAAAAAAAAAAUAUAUAAUAUAUCAAAUUUAAUUAUCAAAACAGUACAGCUUAAGUUUUAGUGUACACAGGGGGGAGAGAGAAGAGCCUUAUUCCCACCGACUUGCCUUAUCCUCACGCCAAAAGUCGAGAGCGGGACAGUGUCGCGGCCUCGGUGCGCUGUGGAGUGAAUAACAAAGAAAUGUUCGAUGGAGGGCUUGGGACUAAGCAGCGCCUAAUAUAUCAGGCGGUUGGCACCUGCAUGUGGACUGUAGUGACUCCUGAUGAGAGAGCUAUAAGAGAAGACGACAGCAUGGGAGAGGGAAGCGCUUUUGAAGAAGCACUUUAGCGCAACCGGAGGAGGGCGACGGGGAAGAAGAAAUGCAGAAGCGGUAAGGCUUCUUCUUCUUCUUCUUCUCUUCUUCUCUUCUUCAUCACUUCGCGGAUUAUCUACGACUGAUUAUUUUCAAUUAUUCUUGUUUUAUUUUUUUUUUUGGGGGGGGGGGGGGGUUAAUUCUAUAUUUCUAUCCGUUACGGAACUCCCGAAAAAAUCGGUUGCGGGGGCCAGAGCGGUGGGGGCGCUAACGUGCGCCGUCCCCACCAUCACCGCGACCCGAGCUCACCCCGGAGAGGGAAAAAAAACGGAGAAGAGGGGCGCUCUCUCUCUCGCGCGCGCGCUUCUCCCGAGUGUUCUAGAAUUUCUACAUAUAUUUAUACGAGAUUAUAAAUUUAGUUAUUAUUAUUUCCAUUAUAUUUAUUAAUAUUAUAUAUUUAUAUAUCUGGAGAUAAAUGUGGCCAUAAAUGUGUGGAUGGAUCCGUACACUUCUUGCAUGGCCGACCAUCGAUCCGAAUUUAGGUGAUCACCCAUCUCCUUCUCCAUUCCAACCCUAAUCAUUUUUUUUUUCUUAAUUUUUUUUUUCUUUUUUUACGUUCUACUAUUUUAUCUUCUUCUUUUCUCUCUCUCUCUCUUUUUUUUUUUUUUUUUUUUUUUUNUUUUUUUUUUUUUUUUUAUUUGAUGAUUCCUUGGGUUCUUUAAUGGGAAAUUGGUGGUGUGGGGCGAUCGAUGGUGGUCUCGGGUGGUCCGAGCGGCGAAUCCGUAUGGCGUUUGUGUGAUCGCCGUUCGUGCAUGUCGCCUGGAGAUCGCCUCGGAAACGCACUUUUUCCUCAUAACUCUUCUUCUUAUUAUCAUCAUCAUCAUCAUCAUCAUCAUUCAUGCGAGAGAAAAAAGCGCAAGAGAGAGAGAGAGAGAGAGAGAGAGAGAGAGAGAGAGAGAGAGAGGGACCACUCCUUAUUUAUUUAUUUAUUUAUUUAUUUUUACCUCUUUCAUGUUUUCUUUUUUCUUUUCUUUUUUUUAAAUCUCGCCCCCACCACCACUCCCUCAGUAACCAACCCCAUCCUCUUCCUCGUUUCUUACAAAAUCUACUCCACACCACUCCGCUCCGCAGAGCGGAAUGCAUUUGCUGCUUCCAAUUAUUCUUAUUUUUUCUUUCGCUGUCUCUGGCUGAGCGCAGAGUGGCUUUUGCCGCGGCGGGUCGGGUAAUCCGUCGAACACAUGAGCUUCAGCGAGAAUCACAAAUACAACGGCGGCCGCAGCGCGUCGUCGCGGUUGGAGCGGCUGUUGUGGGAUAGAGAGCUCCGGAGGUCCAGCAGGCCUUCUCAUCAGCAAGAAGAACCCAAUUAUACCAGCACUGCUGACAAUAAUAAUAUCAGCAGCAGCAGCAGCAGCAGCAGCAACAGCAACAGCAACAACAACUACAACAAUAAUCAUGGUAACAGCAAUGGCAGCGUUUGUUGCGAUGACGGUGGCACUAAUGCCGAUAUAGAUGCCGGCGUAGAAAUCGGCCCCGCCGAGUUUGCGAUGCCGAGCGGAUGCGGCGCGAGUAGGGGAGCAGGCUCCGACAGCGCCGCGGUCGCCGGUGAGGUUACGAUCGGAAUGCCGUCCUCCUCGGGCGCGGCGCGGAGCUGGAGGGACGGUUUCAGGAUGGGCGGCUCGCGAGGCAUGAAGCAGCGGCUGCUCGUGGUGGCCAAUAGGCUGCCGGUUUCUGCGGUGAGGCGCGGCGAGGACUCGUGGUCUCUGGAGAUCAGUGCAGGUGGAUUGGUCAGCGCCCUUCUUGGUACGUGCCUUUCUUUCUUUCCUUCUUUCUUUGGGAGAACUUUUUUUCCAGUUUCCUCUGCUUUUAAUUUAAUGUAAAAAAUGUGGUGUUGUUUGUUAAGUGACUGGCUCUCUAGGUGAUGUUCACGUAGAUUCGGGUUAGCGUCGUAUCCGGAUGCUUGCCUGGUGCCUUACUGUCGGAGAUCGGGCCACCGGUUGUCGUUGUUCGCUCUCGAAUUUGUUUUGAGAUCGGGAAAUUCUAGUGUAAGAGUGGUAUUCAUUGGAUUCUGAGAUGAGUCUGAUCGGAGAAAAGAAAAAGGUUGAAUUGCUGGAUUUAAUCGGCGUUUGGGGUAUCUUUGCAUGCUUGUAUAGUAGAAGGAUUUUAAACAAAUUAAAUUAGGUGAAGGUGCCUAUUUUUUAUGUUAUUGUCGUCACACGUAUCAUGGUCUUCUUGAGCUCCAAGUGCAUCAAUCUGCUUCGAGACCACGUUUCACGGUCUUCUUGAGCUCCAAGUGCAUCAAUCUGCUUCAGUCCCGCACCAUUAUUUUAGUAGCUGGUGAUGUAGAACGGUGCAUUUUGCGUGUCCCGGAAGCUUCGUAAGUGAUCUGGUUGAACCAUUCCACAUGAAAAGGACACAUGCUUCUAAUAAUUUAUCCACAUAACCAGAAUAUCUGAUGGACAAAAGUGGUUUAUGAUUUACAAAAUUUAAGAUAUUUUUUCUAUUGAAGCUAUAGAAUUCUUAGAUCUAUAUUUGUUAUUUUCACAUGCUGAGUAGAGGGACUCUCUGUACUGCCACCGAUCACUGCUGUCGACAAGUGCUUGUGAAGUUAAAAGCAGCAAAUGCAUAAGAUUGUUUUUAUUUUGAUUUGAUUAUUUGUUUUUUGUCACAGGUGUGAAAGAUGUAGAUGCUAAAUGGAUAGGAUGGGCCGGUGUAAAUGUACCAGAUGAAGUUGGGCAGAGAGCGCUGACAAGGGCACUAGCUGAGAAGGUAUGUCGAAAUUUCAGUGCUUUUCUCUUGUAUUAUUACCUCAUUUCCAUACUUAGUUCACGUAGCUCUAUAGAGUCCUAAAAUUUUCUUCCUCUGUGAAAACAGAGAUGCAUUCCAGUUUUUCUUGACGAGGAGAUUGUACACCAAUACUACAAUGGCUACUGCAACAAUAUCUUGUGGCCACUUUUUCACUAUCUCGGCCUCCCACAAGAAGACCGGCUUGCUACUACUCGAAGCUUUCAAUCUCAGUUCGAUGCAUAUAAGCGUGCGAACCAGAUGUUUGCUGACGUCGUGAGCCAGCACUAUCAAGAGGGUGAUGUCGUAUGGUGCCACGAUUAUCACCUCAUGUUUCUUCCCAAAUGCCUCAAGGAGUAUAACAGCAAGAUGAAAGUCGGCUGGUUUCUGCACACACCAUUCCCUUCAUCGGAAAUUCAUAGAACCCUUCCUUCUCGAUCGGAGUUACUUAGAUCUGUCCUUGCCGCUGAUUUAGUUGGGUGAGAACUCUAAUUUUCAUCUGUCAGGCCGCAUUGUGGAUAUAGCAUAUUACAUCUGAAUAUAAUGCAUAUAGAAAGUUUCAUUUGUCAAAGUAUUGUUGUGAAAUUCUCCUCAUACUAUGCAUGUUGCUGAUAUCUCUGGCUCUGAUGCCUUCCCCAAGAUUUGCCCACAAUUGUUCAGAACGUUUGCUGGUGAUAUGAUUUUCUCUAUUGGUUGAAUAAACUUCUACUUAACUAAUUUUAAAACAUUCUGCUUAGAUUCAAUCUGGGCAUCUACUUUGAAUGCUUUGUUUUUUUUUUUUUUUUUCUCUGAGGGAAAAAUAUAGUUUUAUCUCUUUCUAGUUGUCUUUCUAUCAGUUGCUUUACUAUGACUAGUAAUUUCAUGCAUCAGUUUCCAUACAUAUGAUUAUGCAAGGCACUUUGUUAGUGCCUGCACCAGAAUUCUUGGGCUUGAGGGCACACCAGAAGGGGUAGAAGAUCAAGGAAAACUGACGAGGGUGGCAGCGGUAUGACGUAUCUUGUCGUUCUUAUUAUUUUAUUGCAUCGUAUGGAUCGACACUUCUGUAUGUAUGCAUUGUAUCACGUUAGUUUCCAAAAUUGCGUAAUCUAUAUCAGUAAGUCUUCAAAAAAUGUAUCACAAUGGUUUUCAACAUUGGCCAUGCGAGCAUUUGUGUAAUUACCUAAUCUGUUCAUAUAUCAAAUCAUUCUCCUUUUUGGGUAAUCCUUUUCUGGUCUUUAUGUCGAUGGUUCUUACACACUUUGCCCUCCUAAACUUUCCAGUUUCCUAUUGGAAUAGACUCAGAGAGGUUUAAGCGAGCGCUUGAUCAUCCAACAGUUAAAGAGCGCAUCAAAGAACUGAAGCAGCGGUUUGAGGGCCGAAAGGUAAAAAGAAAAAAAUCAUCUUAAGCAAGCUCCUUGUUUUUGUGCUGUUCACUGUAGAUGUUAAAUUUCUUAGUUUCUCAUAGAUAUAUUUUUCAUUCUUAGAAGAGUAACCUGAGGCUUUGGCUCUGUUUUACCAUUUCAGCCUUUUACUCCUUACUCCAUCUGUUCUAACCAUAAAUAACCCCUCUCUUUCAAUUGCGGCUAACCCAAAUUACAUCUCUUUUCUUAAUCAUAAUUGAUAUUCUAUACUUGUUUACUAUCUUCCUUGGAUCCAGAUAUAUUUUUUUAGACAGCAUUCAUGCUAUUAUAAUCAUAACUGAUUUGGCAAUUUGUAUGAUAUAUACCUAGUAUUGCCAAACUUAUUUAAUUUCUAUUACUUGAUCUUGUUGCCAUUCGUCUUCAUGAAGUUGAAAGGAUACUUUCUUAUUACUAGUCAUAGACAGCUCUGAAUUAUAUAGAAAAUGUCAAAUAUCAUUUACGUUGUACUAUCUUGGUAUAUGACAACCAUGAGUACACCUUAUCAUAUACUUCUAUUUAUUAUUGUUAUGUUUCUCUUCUGAUAACAUCCACGAUCUGAGGGUGCUUUUUUUUUUUUUUUGCUUGUUGUUGAUUCUAAAACUUCUGGACUUCACUCAUUUGAUUUGUAUAAUCUCCGUGGCAAGAAGAUAAAGGAAAAUGAAUUCUUACCGUCUCCAGUCCUUUUAACUAAAUUGGUGGUAACAUUCAAACAAGCUGUACUGAUGAAUUGGUUUGUCAGCUAUGGAGUUUUUAGAUUGUGUAGAUCACUAACAACAACCUAGAGUUGGAUCCUCUGUUUAGGAGCAGGAUUAUUUAUAUUGUAAUGUGCACUGAGAGUUGUGAUUCCUGUCAAGAGAAUAUGAAAUUAAUAUGUAAGUAUGUGCACAUAUAAUCAUACUUGUGCUUAUAUCAUUAAGAUAUUGACUAAGAAUUGCAUACUUGGCGCUAAAAAGAUCUUCGUGCACUUUUUACGUGUUUGUUGAUUAUCAAGACCGUUGUUGUACUUGUAGGAGGAAGGAAAAGGAAGAGGCAAUUGACUUCCGUGUUUGUACAAUUGACAUAACUGUAUUCGUCACAGAUUUCGGCUAUGAUUAUGCUAACAUCAAUAACCUGGUAGGCAAGGCAUAUAUCAUUUCAACUAUGAUGAUAUCUGCUACUGUUAUGAUUGUUUAAAGCCUUACAGUACUCUUCUGUUCUGGUGAAUACAAUGAUAGAUUGUUUUGGGUGGAGAUUAUGCCUUUUAUAGCUUCUCUCUCUCUUAUGGGGAAUUUAUGAAGAAAAAUCCUUGGAGGGUCUAUCUUUCUUGAACAUUUCACAAUUAUAAUUCUAUUUGGAGAGUUUCUGGUCUUUUCUAGACGUCGCGACAUUAAUUAAUUUCUAGUUAAUUCACUUUACUUUGACAUACUUUGGGAGCAGGUGUUUUUUUUACUAGUGGUCCUUGCACUAUUUCUACAGAGUGCUGCUUACUAUUUUUCUUGCAUUCUUGUUAAUUUCUUUUUCUGAAUGGUAGGUAAUGCUGGGUGUCGAUCGUCUUGAUAUGAUUAAAGGGAUACCACAAAAAAUUUUGGCCUUUGAGAAGUUCCUCGAGGAAAACCCAUUGUGGCGUGAUAAAGUAGUCUUGCUUCAGAUUGCCGUGCCAACAAGAACUGAUGUACCUGAAUGUAUGCUUCCUUGUUCUAUUGUUAUGCUAAGUAGUCUUCCUUAGUUAAGGUUGUCUAACUAGCUGUUUUUUUCUUUUGAGUACAAAAUAUGUCUAUCACUGUGACAGUAUUAACUAAACUUUUCCUGUUGUUUACUUUAUCAAAAAAAGCAGAAUGUCAAAGAAAUCUUCAUUUUAUUCUUAUUUUCCUCCUUUUUGGUGAACAGAUCAAAAGCUUACCAGUCAGGUGCAUGAGAUUGUUGGACGUAUUAAUGGCCGGUUUGGAACAUUAACAGCAGUUCCCAUACAUCAUCUGGUAUGUCUUGAUGGCAAUCUCCAUAUUUUUGCUACUGUUGGCCUCAAUAUAGCUUGACUUUAGUACUGCUUGUUUGUUGUGUCUUUGACUAGAUCUUUCUCUUUUCCUGCGCGUGGAACAUUCUUUGUAUUUCAUGGUCUGCUCUUGAGUUUUUGUAUUUAUAGUAGAUGUAAAUUUUCUCAAAGUAUGUUAAAUGUGUCACAGGAUCGAUCACUGGAUUUUUAUGGUUUAUGUGCUCUCUAUGCUGUAACCGGUGAUUUGCUUUUCUCCAAACUUCUGCUUCUUUCUUCUUCUUCACUAUGAUACAUUUUGGUAGAACAUAAUUUUAAUACUCUUUUCUUAUGUAGAUGUGGCUCUUGUAACAUCGCUGAGAGAUGGGAUGAAUCUUGUCAGCUAUGAGUUUGUGGCUUGCCAAGGUGAAAAGAAAGGGGUUCUUAUUUUAAGUGAGGUAAUUACAUCAGACCAUUGUUUAUUUGCUCUGUUUCUUUCAUAUACUUGUGUACUUAUUUUAUUCCCUGCGAAACCUAGUCAAAGGUUUUCAAGCUAUGCGAGUGUCAUUAGGUAUAACAAUCGACUCGACAUUUGUGUUGAAAAAGCCAUUCGAGGCUUGCCCUCUGUGCCCUAUGGGCGUUGGCGGGAGACUUGUUCAUCGGAAUACCCUUUUAUAUCUUUUAAUAGUAGCCGAAGAGGGCUAUCCAACCUUAAAUUAUUCUAUUCCACGGCAAACUUCGUAAGAUUUGAUUCGAUCUUAUUGUUGCUUUUAUUUCUAGUUUGCUGGAGCUGCACAAUCUCUUGGAGCUGGUGCCCUCCUAGUAAACCCUUGGAAUAUAACCGAAGUUGCUGCCUCUAUCUGCUAUGCUUUGGAAAUGUCUUCUGAUGAGAGAGAAAAACGGCAUAGACAUAACUAUGCUCAUGUGACUACGCACACCGCCCAAGAUUGGGCUGAAACUUUUGUAAGGUAAGAAAUCUCAUUCCAUAACUUUUGUAAGGUAAGAAAUCUAUUUGCUGUUUGAUCUGAUGGUGGUCGUCGGUUCAUUAAACUUCUAGGGCUUUGUUAAUUCUUAUCACAACGAGUAAGAUCAAACUUAAAAUUACUCUUGCCAUAUUCUCCUUUUGUGUAGCGAACUAAAUGACACUGUCGUCGAAGCUCAGCUUAGGACAAGACAAGUUCCGCCUUUGCUUCACACUGACACGGCAAUAGAACGAUAUCUGCGGUCCAAGAACCGACUGCUCAUAUUGGUAAUUGUCCACACCAUGUUGUAACUCUUUGUAUUCUGGUAGAAGACAACUGCAAAUUAUAAUAUCUUUGUUUGUUUGAUACUUUUUUAUUUUACCAUCCUGUAGGGUUUCAAUGCAACAUUGACUGAACCGGUUGAAUCAUCUGGAAUAAGAGGUGGUGACCAAAUUAAGGAGAUGGAGCUCAAACUGCAUCCCGAAUUGAAAGGACCUUUGGCGACUCUUUGUGAUGAUCCACAGACAACUGUUGUUGUACUUAGUGGAAGUGACAGAAGUGUCCUGGAUGAUGUACUGUUCCUUCAAACUGUUCUCUGUUUUCCUUUCUGAAGUGAUACCACUAAUUGCAUUAAUUUUCUACUUCUGCAGAAUUUUGGAGAAUUCAAUAUGUGGUUGGCUGCAGAAAAUGGGAUGUUUUUACGCCUGACUAGCGGAGAAUGGAUGACAACAAUGCCAGAGCAUCUAAACAUGGACUGGGUUGACAGUGUAAAGGUACUUAAAAUGGUUGAUUUUUGAAUCUAAUACCUUAUUUUGAUGUACUAACUUUGUGAUUUCAACUGAACUUUUCCAGCAUGUUUUUGAGUAUUUUACUGAGAGAACACCCAGGUCCCAUUUUGAACACCGUGAAACCUCACUUGUAUGGAACUACAAGUACGCAGGUAAGGUUUUUUGUUCACGUAUCUUUUUUAUUGCCUUUAGUUAACGCCUUUGCCUGCCACCAUCUUUUACGAAUUUUUUUUUCCACUGCAGACGUUGAAUUUGGUAGACUUCAAGCAAGAGAUAUGCUACAGCACUUAUGGACAGGUCCAAUAUCCAAUGCAGCCGUUGAUGUCGUCCAAGGUAGCCGGUCAGUCGAGGUUCGAUCUGUGGGGGUUACCAAGGUUUGUGAUAUGUUUUCCAUUUUUUCUUUUUUUUUUUUUGCAGAAGAUGAAUAAAUGCGUCAGAUCUUUGUAGCGGACAAGGCUGCAAAUGCAAUUUAUUAAGGUCUUUUAAUUUAUACUGUUUGUUUAUCUCCGCAGGGUGCUGCAAUUGAUCGUAUUUUGGGAGAAAUUGUCCAUAGUAAAAGCAUGAUCACCCCAAUUGACUAUGUUUUAUGUGUUGGUCACUUCCUGGCAAAGGUAAUAAGUUUGUGUUCUUAUUUGCUUGCUAUUUUUGAGAUUAGUAGCAAGUAACAUGAAACAGAUGGACCAACUCUUGCAUGUCGCAAUCAUGGUAACGGUUCCCAGAUUGUUUUCCUGGCAAAGGUGAUGAUUCUAUGUCCUUCAUCUAAUAGCGGUAUUGAUGGUUUCAGGAUGAAGAUAUCUACACCUUCUUCGAGCCGGAGCUCCCAUCUGAGCCGUUAAAUGCUGCAAAAGCAAAAGCAUCCGACGGUUGCAGGCCGACUCUCGACCGCAGGACCUCAGGGAGAUCAUCAAACAGUCGGAACAACUCGAGAAAUUCGCAGUCGCGAACUCAGAGGUCGCAGUCCGGGUCGGAAAGGCGGAACUCGUUCAAUCAUAACUCUCAGCGAUCUCCUCAGGAAACCGUGUCGUGGCGCGAGGGUUCUUCCGUGCUGGAUCUCAAGGGCGAGAAUUAUUUCUCCUGCGCUGUGGGGAGGAAACGUUCCAAUGCGAGGCACCUGCUCAACUCGUCGGACGAAGUUGUUUGCUUUCUCAAGAAACUGGCAGAGGUGGCGGGCCAUUGCUACGGUGCCGGUAAUCAGCCUGGUUAGAGUUCUGUUUCUGGUGAAAGGUGGGUUAGAUUUAUUCCGCUCGAAUUCCUGCUCGGCGUUGUAAAAAUGUGUAUAAUUCUACCCCGUGAAAAUGCUAUCCCCCGUGUGAGCACUCAGUGGUAGCUAAAGAAGUAUUAUUUGGGACAGUAUAUAUUUCGGUUUGCGAUUCGAUCUUUGCUGUUUCUUGUUCUAUUUAAAUUUGUUCUAUUUAUUGAAAUUUGUUUUGUUCUGUGUGUUCUUCUGUUGAGACGCUUUGCAUGUGUCAAUGUUUAUCAGUCUAUGCGCCGCUUCCUGGGGAGUGCUGGUGCAUUUGGAUUUUGUUCAUGUGGGCCUGAAUUGUAGCUGAUCUAUGCAAAGCCCUCAACCCAAAGCACAACCGCAUGUCUGCCAUUAAUUAACUACAAAUACGUAAGACUAAAAAAAAAUAAUAAUACCAAAUUUAAAUUGUUCAUAAAAAUUCAAAAUCUAUAAUUCUGUAACACUCAUGUCGGAUGAAAAAAGGAUUUUGAUUGAAAAUGUAUAAGGUCUAAUUAAUUAAAAACAAAUAAUGUCAAAUUUAAAUUAUUCACAAAAAAUCAGAAUUCAUAACUCUGUAGCACGCAUUCUAGCAAUAAUACAUUGUUGGACCCUUAACCACCGAUACAAAAUUUUUAAGCUCAGUUGUUAUUAUUAUUGUUAUUAUUAUGUCCUAUCUUGAGUUUGGUUUGAUAUAAUUGGUGUUAGAUUUCUAUAAAGGGCGUGUUAUAAAAGGUGAUAAGUUUGGUUGAUGUAACUGGUGUUAAAUUUUUUAUAAAGAGUGGAAACAUCACUUUAUUAAGUCAAGGAUAACGAUUAUUUUUUGUGUAAGUAGUAAUAGGCUUGAUGGUUGGUAUUCGAGAUUUCAAAUUCUAAAAUUAAUUAUUUUAUAUUUUUAGCUAAGUUUAAAAAAAGAAAUUAAGUCAAAUUAUCCACAUGCAAUCGGUGAUCUCAAAUUCGAACAUUUUUAUUUUCCUCGGAAUGUCCCCAAGAGUCGUCUCUUGUGUAAGGAUCCAAACAAUCAAUGUCAAAUUAAUGUCAAAUUAUUUAAAUCAAAUUUAAAUUAUUUCCAAUGGAAGUGUUGCUUCGGGCUUCGGGCAUAGCACACUCUUUUAUUGAAAAUUCCUCUUAUAAUUUGCUUUUGCAGAAACUGAAACUUCAAAUUGAUGUACCAGACUGUUAAAACUAUUAACGUUGAGUAACUUAGAUUUUCAACGUAGAAGAGUUUUAAAUUUUAUGAUCUUAUUUUUAGGGAUUUCACGUUUUUCGUCAAUUGAAAAAUUGAGCGCUUUCAUAGAAAAAGGACUACAUCUUUCAUACCAAAUUUUCUGGGCACGAGCAAUCCUGCUGCUACUGCUGAUGAGUGGUGAGAGCAAUCCCAUAGACGCAAACCAACCUUGGUUUUGCAUCAAUCUAUGACGACCUAAUCCGCUAGUGCCCAAACCACCGGCCCAGAAUAUUUAAGUCCAAUUAUUAUACAGACUAUCUAAAUUCAGAUCACAGAUGACUCCCACCAAAUCCAUAGUGUAGUACUUUGUCCCGUAUAGCAUUUAGCUCUAACACUUCUAGCAGGUAUUCAGCUCUAACACCAAUUGUAACGACCUGACCGCUAGCGAUAAUAACUUGUUGAAUCCAAAUCCCUAGCGCAAAAUACUUAAGUCUAGUUAGUAUUAUUAGUGUGUGAGGUCUCAUGUAUUCUAAGUGAAAUUAUUUUUCUAUCAGAUAUGAGACUAUUGGGGUGUUACAGAUUGAAGCUUUAAAAGCGUGCACAAUGCAGGACAAAAAGCCAAAGCAAAUCAAGAUAGCAACAACAGGAGUUGAAUGUGGGAUGCUUUAAGAGACGUGCGAAGAGGUGAGCUUGGUGGUGCUGCAAAUGUUUCCUUGCCUCGAAGGGCACUGCCAAAUUGGAUGAUGGUCCAUAUAUAUAUAUGCACACAAUCAAGCACUCAACUCCAAAAAAAAAAAAGAAAAAAAAGAAAGAAAAAAAAGAAAACAAGAAAGAGAGAUCGGUGAAAACGGUAGUAUAACGAGUUCAUCAUCAUGAACUUUAUAUAUAUAUAUAUAUAAUUAACCUAACUGACCCAUAUCAUCUAUUUUAUGAGCGCGUCGAAUGUUGUGAGUAUAGCAGUAUAAAUGACCUCACAAUCAUAACAACCAAGAGAUUCGAGUGAAAGGUUUGUUGUCACAUUUAUACUAAUUAAUUAUAGUAAUAUUCCAUGCUUUACAGUAUUUCGAGUCAUAUAUGAUUAGCUUUAUUCGUGCGCAAAGUUUUAAUACUAUUGACCUAGUUAGAUUUUAUAUGUAGGCAUGUAGCAAUGAAAAGUGAGAUGUGUCAUGCAUAAGAUGGUCUUCAACCAUAUUAGUUAUUUAGGGCUACAUGGCCAAACGUCCGUUUGGUAUCGAUGACGAUAUAACAUUCUAUUAGACAGAAAAUAUCGAAGGUAAAAAUAUAUUAUAUCGUAACAAGAUCACUGUAAUUUACACAAUUUGGUAACAUAAUUUCACGAAAACAGAUGGAAUAUUUUAUCAUUGUACUUUCACACAUGCGUAAAGCAUGAUUCCCACAAUUUCAAACUGAUCUUUAUUCACGGUGAAUUUAUAAAUGAGCUCUUGCUAGUUGAUUCAGAACAACUUUGUCUUCUUCUUCUUCUUUUGUACAUGAAUAAGAAGUUGUUGCUGUAGACGUGAAUUUCUUUUCACAAUCAAAUUGGAUAUAAAUUUGACAUAUAAGCGUAGUGGGAGUCACCAUCAGGUCUAAAAUGAAACAUUGUGCGUAACUUCAGCGUGCGCCUCUUUGGUCCUAUGUGUAUGUUCACCUCCUAGUAGUAUGGAUUUAUGAGAAGGACCAAUUAAUUUCCUAUGUUUUUUUUUAAUUUUAUUCUAGUUUUAUUUUAAUUUAUUUUAUUUGAAAUGAGGUUAUACCACAUUCAGAGGGCAUAGUAAGAUUCCCUAGAAGUUAUUGCAGCAUUUCUUUACCAAUUUUAGAACGGAAUAUUACCCCAUUUUAAGGGAAUGGUUGCUAAGUAAAUAUAGAGAAAGAGAGUUCCAUGAAUCUCACGAAUUAAUUCUUUCAUUUAGUGACAUACUGAAUAUGUAUUUGAUCAAUCUGCUGUUCAACUUUUACAUAAAAAGAAUCCAUUGGAAAAUUUGCUUGAUUAUCAACUGUCUCUAACGCGAGCGACAAAAGGUAUAUCUGAGGUUCCGAAUUCGAAACCUAAUUACUUCACAUUUUCAGAUAAAUUCAUUCCUAAAAAAAGAAAUGGAGAAAACAAAUAGCAUUGUACCUUUCUCUCCCCAAAAAAGUAAAAUGUUUGGUUUGAACUCAUUGCCAAAGAAAAGAGACUUCUAAUAUUAGAUGUAUUAUAGAAUUCUAAUUUUUAGUCAGUAUGAAAUUAAUAUUCUUAAUAAUAAGAUAUACUAUAAAAAAAAAUAAAAUAUAAUAAAUGAAUCAGUAUUAAUUGUAUGCAUGAUAGAAACUAGAUAAUUCAAUGUUCUUAAAGUGCAUAUUCAUAUGGAAUAUCAUUUACUACAAGGUGAACAAUAUUAGUGACUUAUCAACUGUACAAUUUUAUAAAAAUAGCAAUCCUAGCUAACUUAUUACUCUAAUUACAUCCUAAAAAAAAAAAAUCUUCAAGCAUGAACAAAAAAAGAUUCUCUUCCUCAUUUGAUGGAAAAAGAAAACUAUGUACAAAGGCAAUCUCAUCAAACUGUGCACACCUUUCAACUUCUACUGUACUUUUCGGUCCCCACUAGCUAUGUAUAUAUAUGUGUGUGUGUGUGUGUGUGUGUGUGUGUGUGUGUGUAUGUAUGUAUAUAUAAUAGUAGCAUAGCAAAGAGGAGCAAAGAGGAGUAACAAGCACACAAUAGAAGAUGAGAAAAGCAUCACCAUUAACACCCACUCUUCUUCUUUUCUUUCUCCUCCGACUCAUCCCAAGUUCUCUCUCUCACAACAAACAAGGACAGGUUUGUUAAUUACAUACCCUUUUAAUUGUUACUUUAAACUAUUCAUUCAUUUUCUAAGUUAUCUUAUUAAUUGUUUAAAAGAGAACAAAAAGUUAUUCAUUAGGAGUUAAGUUUUUGAUCGAGCAGGUUUAUAUAGUAUACUUGGGAGAACACAGUGGAGCCAAAAACACUGAAGAAAUCCUGGAGGACCACCAUUCACUUCUCUUCUCUGUCAAAAACAGGUGCAUAUUAAUUAAUUGUAUCAUCUAUAAUUAAUAUUUUUUAUGAUUUUUUUAGUUCCUAGCUAAAUUAAUUAAGUUCUUAAUGGAUCUGUUUAUUAUUUAGUGAGGAGGAAGCACGGCAAUCUCUUUUAUAUAGCUACAAGAACAGCAUCAAUGGAUUCGCCGCAGUGCUCUCUGAUGAAGAAGCUGCGGCGCUAUCGGGUACAGUUCAGAUUAAGUAAACUCUCACCACUAAAAAUUCAUACUUUUUAAAUAACAAAUAUUAUUGUAAUUGAUAACUAUUAGUUGCAAUAAUAUUUUUUUUACAAAAAUCAUAGCUACAAAUCUGGUGGUAAUAAAUGAACAAAUAUAUAAUAUAAUUUCUAUUACUACAGCAAGUAGGAGUAUGGUAAUUAUGGUUCGAACUUGAAGACUUGUGUUUGGACAUCGCGUGAAACAACCGUUUUUACUCUAAAAGCUUUAAUUACAAUAAAGAAUGUUUUAAUCAUUUAUAUACAACUCAUUGGAAUUAUAGCCUACUGGUGGGUUAUUUGGGAGACUAGAAACGGAGCGAUUUUUCAGAUGGUUCAGAAGGACUCACUACGUGGAAUUCACAAGAUCAAAUAGCUGAUGACUCAGUGGGGGAAUCUCUAACCAGUAGAGAGACCUUGCUUACAGUAGAUUAAAUAGAACAAGGGUUUUUUUUUUUUAACCCUGUCUUGGUUUUCCGCCACCCUUGAGGUCUUGCUGUCUCAUCCAUGUAGCUUAAUUCACCUUCUGAAUGAAUAAACCGAGUAGCGUGCUACCUUUCUCCUAAAAAGAAAACAAAUAUAUCAUUUACAUUUGUGUUUUUUGGGCAAUUUUUUAUUAUUAUUAUUAUUAUUUUUUUGAUGGAAUAGCUAUGGGGGAAGUGGUGUCUACAUUUCCAAGCAAAGGGAGGUGGUCACCACACACUACAAGGUCAUGGGAGUUCAUCGGGCACGAAGAAGGAUUGAAAGGUCAAGAGAUUGAUUCGCUACGAUCCAAAGCAAAGGAUGGGAAAGAUGUUAUCAUUGGCAUGUUGGAUUCUGGUUAGAGUACUCCCAUUGCCAAUAUCUUUUUCACAUGUUGCAAUCUCAGUUAAUUAUCUUGUUUUCUACUACUGAUGUUCUAUUAAUUUUUGGGUUAAUUAAUUGCAUUAUUUGUAGCUCCCAACCUUCUAUAAAAAUUUCAAUUUCCAGCAGCUUCUUUCAAAACAAGUCGUAAUGGCUGCUAAACUUUUUUUUUUUCUUUUUUUUCUCUUUUUUUUUUUCCUUUGAGAAAAUGAUGGCGAACUGUCUGUUUCGUUUACUAAGCGUUAUGAACUUAGCAAUAAGGAUGAGACAGCCUGGGCGGCUAAACUUUUAUAAUUAUAAUAGAUUGAUUGAUUUGUUAUUUAACAUUAAUUUUUUAAAAGAAGGGUCAUUUUAAUAGAAAAUAUAUUUUGAGAUGAGAAAAAAUUUUCUGACAUCAACUUUCUUACCAAAAAAAUGUUUAAUUACUUUAUACAUCACUAUUUCUAUCAAUAAACUAAACAUCAAAUAAUGGGACAGAUAAAUUAAUUUGACACAUUAGCAAGAGUUUAGAAAACAUGAAUUAGUUCACUUUUAAAGAAUAGAGGCUAAAGUAAAACUUUGAUAACUUUUUUUUUUCCCCCUGAACAUGUAGUGUUAGGCUUAGUUCCCAACAGUUUAUUGAACAAAGAAUUAAGGUAAAAGAGUCCAGGUACAAAAAUGUAGUGAAAUCAACUCUUUUUAUUAUGUUUUAAGCAAAAUAAUAUAGUUGUCUAUUAUAUUAAAUUCGUUAAUUUUGUUUGGUUAAUUUUGUUUGCUUUCAUAGGUAUUUGGCCCGAGUCCAAAAGCUUUAGUGAUGAAGGAAUGGGACCAAUUCCUAAACAAUGGAAAGGGAUUUGUCAAGAAGGAGACUCAUUUAACUCUUCAAAUUGCAACAAGUUAGUAAAUAUAACCCCAUUUCUUUAAUUUUCUCUCUCACUAUAUAUUCUAUGCUUUUUAUUUGAAAAGUCCCUUACUAUAUAUUCUAUCUCAUUAUCAUGAAAAGUAUGAUUGUUUGUGGUCUCAAUUUUUAGCUCUGGGAUGCUUUAGUCAGGAGGUUGGUUUCAUAUAUAGAUUCAUUAUGCUGUUAUUGGUCACUCAAAAAAUCGAUCUGAUAGAAAAUAAUUGAGAAAUCACAUAAUAUGAUGGAUUUGCAUUUAAGCCACGCAAAAUAAUGGUCAAACGCAAUAAACAAAAUCAACCAGAGGUCAGCUAGUUACUAACCGGCAUAUAUAAGAAUAUAUAGCUUUUUGGAACGAACUUAUUCUAGAUUGGAAAAACUUCAAAAAACCCUCCUGUGGUUUCGUAGUUUCUCACUUUGCCCCCCUGUGGUUUAAAAUAUAUCAAUUUGUUCCCCUGCGGUUUCCUUUUUCUCUUUUUCUUAUCAAUUUCAUUAUAUUUUUUUUUAAAAUCAGUGAUAAAGUUAAUUUAAAGGGUACUAAAGUGAAUAUUUGAUAAAUCUAGAUGGGUAUCUGAAAUUUUUUUUAUAUAAUUUAAUGAAAUAUUAACGAAAAAGCUACCGAAAAGAUAAAAACGAAACCACAGAGGGGCAAUUUGAUAUAUUUUAAACCACAGAGGGGCAAAGUGAGAAACUACGAAACCACAGGUGGGUUUUUUGAAGUUUUUCCUUCCAAAUUUAAGCCUGCGUGUAUGAUUAGAAAUAAAAAAAUUUAAUGAUAUAUACUAGUAUCUUACUUUUAUACAUAUCUUUGACAUCCGAAAAUAUUUUUUUUUUCGUUUUUUUUUUUUUUGAGAAAUAGGUAGCAAGCUAAAUAUACUUUUUUUUAUUAUAUAUUGUUGGAAUUCUUGUAGAGGAUGCAUAUGCAAAACCAUUUCUAAUUGAUAACUACUAAAAUAUCUUCUUCUUGAUAUAGUCCCAAGAACAUUCAAGAGCAAUACAAUGACUUGAUGUACAUGAGACCUUGUUUCUUGGCCCUCAUUUAAGAGAGGCUCAUGUACUCGAAGCCCCACAUCUCACUGUUNUUUUUUUUUUUUUUUUUUGUCCCUGUCCUCUGAAUUUUGCAGCCUCCAAAAUAUUCUUUCUUGCACCAAUCGUAUUUGCGCAUUCAUGCACCAUACAUCUAUCUAAUCUCUAUCUCGCAAUCUCAUCUAACGUAUUAGCGUCAGCAACCGUAAAUACAGUAGUAUCAUAGCAGGUUACUGAUUCGGCUCUCUGCGUGUCUAUACACUUAGAGAAGUAAAGUGACAUACAGCUCCUUAAUUUUCUAUCGAUCUAGAGUGCAAGUAUGAAAUGCGAUGAACGACAGAUGCGCCGGGUGCGGGCAACAACUUAACAAUGUUGCUGGGACUGUCCUGCAACUUGGCACGUCCAAACAAAGUCGACUGACUCAGCUCGACCUGUUGUGAUGUCUGGCUCGGCUUCUUCACCCGGUGGGUGACAAAAACCCAUGCACGGGAUCUCGUGACCUCCUCCUCACAUUACUGCUACCCAUGCUGCAAACGUAAUUUGUCUGCUUCUCAAAGAGCUAGGCUUUGUUCUUCAAAAUAAAUAAAUAUUAUCUCAAAUUAACCCUAUUGUAUAUAUAUUUUGACAUGCCCCACUUUUUAUUUUUUUGAGAGAGAAAAAUAGCACCCUACCUAUUUCAUUCAUUCAGCAAAUAAAAUUAACUAUAUAGACGUGUCCCACUCUUGAAACAUAUAUAUUAUAUAAAUGAGUAUAAAACAAUAUACAUUGAAUUCUAGCUGGCUUUUAAAUUCUAACUCAGUUGGACUCGGGAACCAAACCUAACCCAUAUGAACGGUUUUCGGAUUUUGUGCAACAUAAAUGCGGACUCGAACUUGAAAUCGAACUCGAACUCGAACUCAAAUCUUGCUGGGCCCUAGCCCGGAAAUGUUAUGUAGGCCCGGAUGUGGCCUGGACUUCUACAGGUUGCUAAAGUUGAGUCCGGGGCAGGCCUUGGACCUAUUGUUGAAUCUCACGUCAACAAUCUGAAUCUGGUCCCAAACCUGGCCCUGAUCAAUCUUAUUGACACCCUAUAACCGCUUCAUCUUUUUCUUUUCUUUUUUUUUUUUACGAAAUAAACUCACUUAGAAAUAUCAGAUAAUUAUACUUUAAAUUUGAGAUCUCGAGUGUCAAUCAUUAAAUUCUUGACCAGAUGGGCUGUGUAUGGUUGGUUUUAGAAAGAUUUUUUUGUGAAUAGUUAUGAAAGUUUCAGACAGUAAAAAAUAUAUAAAUCGAUCGUAUUUAGCUAGCACAGUUGACUAAUAAUAUAAUAUUUGAUGUCCGACCUCCUAAGUUAGAAAUCUGGUUGCUUCACAUGCUUAAUUAGGCGUAUUUCUAGAAAAAUGGACAAACUGUUCCAUCUUAAAAUUAAAAAUAAAUACAAAAAAAUUUAUUUGCUAUUAAUAAAAAAAAAAUUAUAUUUAUAAUAUAUAAAAAAGCUCUUAAAAGAGAGAAGGGCUCAAGAUUUGGUUUUACUACUGUGCUAUCCAAAUGGUCAACUUGAUAGGAAAUGAGUUUGAAAAAAUAUACAUUUGACAUUGAGGUUGGUGCCGAGCGUUUAUUUUAUAAACGUUUAUUUUAUAUUUUCUAUCUAGUAUCACGGCAGAAGGUUCUAAUUUCGAAUCACGUAUGGUGCUUCAUGUGACACGAGGAACAACUAACAGCUAACAAUGAAACAGGAAGCUGAUCGGAGCGCGAUACUACCUGAAGGCAUACGAGGCCUACUACGGCGCGCUGAACACCACGUACGCCUACCGCUCGCCCCGCGACCACGACGGCCACGGCACUCACACCGCCUCCACCGCCGCCGGCCGCCCCGUCCCAGGCGCUGCAGCCCUCGGUGGCUUUGCAGGCGGCACCCCCGCGUCCGGCGGCGCCCCCCUCGCCCGCCUCGCCGCCUACAAGGUCUGCUGGCCCAUCCCCGGGCCCAACCCCAACAUCGAGAACACCUGCUUCGAGGCCGACAUGCUCGCCGCCAUCGACGACGCCGUCGGAGACGGCGUCGGUGUGCUCAGCAUCUCCAUCGGGUCCGUCGGCGCCAAGCCCCGCCUUGACAAGGACGGCAUAGCCAUCGGAGCGCUGCAUGCGGCGCGCCGCGGCGUCGUCGUCGCCUGCAGCGCCGGGAACAACGGGCCCGCGCCGGCCACCGCUUCCAACCUCGCCCCGUGGGUGAUCACCGUCGGCGCCAGCAGCAUCGACCGGGCCUUCCGUUCGCCGAUCACGCUCGGCAGUGGGAUGACGAUCACGGUAACUAACCUCUCCGUGCACGUUACGAAAAACAAUGCGACGUUAUACUAUAUCAUUUAUAAGAGUAGAUGAGAAUAGUAUAUAUGAUGUAAAAUAACUCGUAAAAAUUAUUUGAUUAUAAUAUAAUUUCAAUCAUGCACUUUCUACUUAUAUCUCUAUCUAUUAUAAAGAAUCGGUAUAACAAUUAUUAAUUUUUUUAUUUUUAUAAAUAAUAAAUACAAUAAUGCAGUCAGGUUACGGCAUAUGGUCACCAAAACACUAAUAAUUUAGUCGCAAUUCAUAAAAUUUAGGGUGGCUUUUAUCACGAUGAUAGUAUUUCUCAAAUUUUUAUGUAGAAUUGGAGAUAAUAUCAAUGCUUCCACUAUAACAUCUCUCUCUCCUUUUCUUUUCUUUUCUUUUUUUUUUGUUUCUACUGAACAUUGAUCAGGGUCAAACAGUUACACCGUACCAGUUGAAGAAAAAGAAACUCUAUCCUUUAAUCUAUGCUGGGGAUGCUGUGGUUCCUGGGACUCCCACCAAUGUUUCAGGGUAUAGAUUAUCUUUCAACUUAAUCCAUAAUAAAAGUUUAAUACUUUAGAUAGAGAUUACAGGAAGGGUUUAAUUGAAAUGCCAAAGAGGUGGUAGGAAUCAAACUCUGCAUGCUAAAUUUUGUAAUUUAAUCCUUGCAAAAACACUAUAUAUUCAAUCAUGUAACAUUCUUUUCAGACAAAAAAAAAAUUGUAGCUAGCACUGCAACAUGUUUAGCUACUAGUAUAUAUAUAUAUGGUGUGUUUCUAAAUCUGAGAAGCUAUUUGCAGGCAGUGUCUACCCAAUUCUCUGUCCCCCGAAAAGGCGAGGGGCAAGAUAGUCGUGUGCCUGCGAGGAAGCGGUCUGCGGGUGGCCAAGGCACUGGAGGUGAAAAGGGCCGGCGGGUCGGCCAUUAUACUAGGCAAUCCUUUGGCUUACGCGAAUGAGGUCCCCGUCGACGCCCUCCUACUACCCGGAACGGCCGUGUCAGCGAACGGUACCAUCGCCAUUCUCAACUACAUCAACUCAAGCCGGAGACCGACCGCCACCAUCGGUCGGGCUCAUACUGUUUUAGAUGUUAGGCCUUCGCCGGUCAUGGCCCAGUUCUCCUCUCGCGGGCCCAACGUUCUCGAGCCCAAUCUUCUCAAGGUAACUAUGAUCACUUCGCGGCAAAAUAUUCUCAUUGAAACUUUUUGAAAUUUUGAUACUUAGACACUUGUUGGUAAUGUCGUAGCCCGACAUUACGGCACCGGGGUUGAAUAUAUUGGCAGCUUGGAGCGAAGCAUCCUCGCCUACGAAGCUCGAUGACGAUCACCGGAGAGUAAAAUUUAACAUUUUGUCGGGGACAUCGAUGUCGUGCCCUCAUGUAUCUGCUACUGCAGCUCUUCUCAAAUCCUUGUACCCUCAUUGGAGCUCCGCCGCUAUUAGAUCUGCUAUGAUGACCACUGGUAGUGUACUUUCUCCGGAAGAAUAAGUCUAGUACUUGUGCCGAAUUUGGCACAACGAAUCGAUGUUCCGAAUCACAGUGGUUGUCGGAUUGCGGAGCAAUACUAUAGGAUAUAGUGCAGGCCCUUGAUCCAACAAUCACUGCAAUUCAGUGUACAGAAUUUUACAUGAAUCUCACUAUAUUUCCCCGAAAUUAUCUAGCUACAUAUAUAUGUACCUUAAAAAUUUAUAGUUUCAUAAUGCAAUUUCGGGCUUUCACCAAAAUCCUUUGCAGCUACCGUAAAUGAUGCCAACGGAGGCCCAAUAAUUAACGCGGCCGGACAAGUGGCCGGGCCCAUGGAGUAUGGAUCGGGCCACAUUCGGCCCAAUCAUGCGGCGGACUCGGGCCUCAUUUACGAUGCUUCGUACGAAGACUACCUCCUCUUCGGAUGCGCAACCGCAGGCCUCCAAUUUGACCCGUCGUUCGAGUGCCCAAAAUGCCCGCCAUCCCCGUCCAAUCUCAACCAUCCGUCCGUCACCGUCGCCAACCUCAGCGGGACCAUCACCGUCCGUAGGACGGUCACCAACGUGGGCCAAAGCAAGGCCCAAUACCGUGUGACCGUCCUCGAACCCGUCAGUGUUUCAGUUAAAAUUAGGCCCAAAACUUUGGGCUUUAAAGCGGCGGGCCAAAGGAAGAGCUUUUUUAUCACAUUUAAAGCCCAUGGUAAGGGUAAUGGGGAAUACGUGGCAGGGUCGUACACGUGGAGCGAUGGGGUCCACUUUGUCAGGAGCCCUGUUGUAGUUUCUCUUGCCUGAUUUUUUUUUUUUUUUUUUUUUUUGCUAGUAUUUUAUUUGCUUUUAUUUUCUUUAGCCCACUGAACCUAAAUAAAAUGUAGAGCCGGUGCAGGAGUGUCAAAUUUAUGAAAACAAUGUAACUGGAAAUCGGGUUAUUUUUAAGAUAAUGGAGAUGAACAACAAUUCUAAUUUCCAAAAAUGCAUGAUAUUCACAGGAAAUACUAAUGAAAUUCUGUCAUGGCUCCUCAUGGUUUCAGAAAAAUUCCAAAACCGUAGCAAACGUUACUAUCUAUGGUGAAGUAUUUAGCAUCUACUAUUUUGUCAAAGCUUGAAAAGUUCUCUACCGCUCGUAAUCCAAUCAUUGUAACACAUCAAAAAUGAAAGAAAAAUAUCUUAGGCGCGUUGGAUUCUAUUUUACUGAUUUUCAACAAGGUAGACGUGACUUGCGCGUGAGCGAGUGUGUGUGUGUGUGUGAGAGAGAGAGACAGAGAGAGACAAAGAUGUCAAUUAUUGAUGGUUUCAUCAUUUGGCUCUGCUUUUGAGACAUCAAAGGGCGUGCUUUAGUUCAGUGCUAAACAGCUUUUAGUCGUCUUCACACGUAAGUUAUGGAUAUAUAGUUUAGUCUUUUUCUUUAUAAAAAAAUCAUUAGUUUUAAAAUUUUGUAAAAAAUUGGUCAUCAUUUUAGAUUUUACAUAUUCAAAUUGAAUUUUUAGAAAAUUGAUCAAAAAAUUUUUAUUUCCUUUUAUUUCUUUUAUUUCUUAUUUUAUUUUUCUCUCCGGCUCUCAUCCCUCCACCAACUUCGUGGUGCUCGGUGACGGCAAUGAGGGCGGCGCCACCUCCUCUUCUUUUUCUUCGGCCUACGCCUCCAACGCCAUCGAUAUCGAUGCCGGCGCUCGGUGACAAUAAUAAGGGCGGCGCCGGCUCUUUUUCCUCUUCUUCCGCCUAGCUGGCCUCCAUCGCCACCGAUAUCAACACCCACGCUGAAGGAGGAGAAUUCGGAGCAAGCGCGGGUGAGGAGAAAGCUGACGACGGUAAUGGGGUCGCGACCAAGGCAAUGCUCGCUGUCACCAUAAGGGUGAGGAUGAAGGCGCAUCGGUGCUUCUCCAAAGAGCAAGAAAAAAGAUGCAGAUUCAAUCAAACAGUAUAAUUUUCGUCCAAAAAUUAUAACUUUUUAUUUUAAUAGUAUAAUUUUCAUUUAAAAGAAUCCAACAUUCGUUUUUAACUGUAUAUUUUUUUAAAAAUAGUACAAUUUUAUCUUAACGGUGUAACUUCAUCUUUUUCUUCCUUCUUCUUUAGUUAUUGAUUUUUUUAUUAGCAACGACGAUACAUAAUGAUUUUUCAAUGAAAAAAAUAUUUUUUUAUUUUUAUUUUUCCUACCAUUCAUAUUUUUUUUUGCUCUUUAGAGAAGUAUGAGCGCGUUUUUGUCCUUACCCUCACAGGCAAUAAUGAGCAUCGCUUUAGCCACGACCUCAUCAUCACCACCCGCUCCGCCCUUGCUUGCGUCGGCUCCAAAUCCUCCUCCUUCGACCCUAGAACUGGUGCUGGCACGGGCGAAGGUGAAGGAAGAGGAGGCGGUGCCGCUCUCAUUACCAUCAGCGAGAACUGCGGAGGCGGUGGAGAAGGUGAUGAAAAUAGGAAAGAAAAAACUAGAAAAAAAAAGAGAGAAAAAUGAAUAAGAAUAUUUUGAUCAGUUUUCUAAAAAUUCGGAUUGAAUCUUCAAAAUCUAAAAUAGUAACCGACUUUUCCAAAAAUUCAAAACUAGUGAAUUUUUUAUGCAAAUUGGCUAAUAUUUUAUUUGAUAUGUUCUCUUAAUUUAUUCAAAAAAUUAUAUACUUUUACAAUGUUAAGUAUAAUCUAAUGUUUAAAAUGAAAUAUUAUAUUUACUCUUUAAAUUACUUUUUUCAGAUAAAUCGGUUUGUUGGUAAAAUAUACUAUUCUAUCAAAAUAUAAAUAGUAAGACGUUUCAAGAAGUAAAAAAUUAAAUUUAAUACUGGCAAUUAUAUAAAUUUUUGUAAUGAAAAGUUAUUUUUUAAUAACUUAUUCUAACAUCUAAAUAGAAUUGUAAUAUGGUAGUGUUACGCAAAUGCAAAGUACCGUGCGACCAAACAAGCGCAACACUAAGAACUUAAGAAAACUAUAGGAUAAGUUUUAUGAUCAUUAGGUGAUCCCAUUAAGCAAUGAAGCAAAAGUCCUAAUCAUCCAAAGUUUGCAACUAUGAAUGCGACCCAGCUUAAGUUUCUUUUGCUUCUUCCUUUUUCUGAUUUUCUUUCUUAAGAACCAUUUUUAAAAGUGCUUCUUCUGCACGACACGUGUGGCUUCUUCAUUGCUCAGCAAGUGAACCUGACCCUCACGGUUCUCCCUGUUGACAUUUGUACCAACCACAAAAUACCCCACAAAUUUCCGUACUUGGUAAUUAAUUCCAAAUCCAUAAGUUAUUCCAUUUGUUGAUUACUAAAUCAUUAAGUCAUUAUCUACAUAUAUGCCACAUGAUUAAACUAAUUCUAGGUGACUAUUUAAUUAUUUUAGCAACCGUUGAGUUUCACUGUGCUCCAUUUCCCUCAACUAUGGAUUAGAGGACGCGUGACAGGCAAAGAUUGGACCAACUAAUUUAUUCAAUAUUUUGUGCUUUAUGUCACAGCUUUUUGGGCUAUAAAACCUACCUCAUAGCAAACGUUUCUCCACUUCUCAAAUAGAAGCUAAGUAGCUUUACAAUGGAAGAGCUAGCGGAGUCCGAAGUGAUGUGGCCGAACGACGAGGACCACCCGAUCGGUGAGCCCAGCGAUUCGAUGUCGUCAGACGUGCGAGGCACGGGUUAUUGCCAAUGCACGCGUCCGAUGGACAUACAGUGCGGCACAGCGGAGCGGACCGCCCGGGGAUCAGGACAUAAGGAUGAGGAAGGGGUGGCCGAUGAGAUGGUGCCCCCGCACGUGCUGAUCGAGCUGCGCGGAAGGGCGGCGGGGAACGCGGCCUUCUCGGUGUGCUACGGCCAGGGGAGGACGCUCAAGGGGCGCGAUCUUGCGCACAUGCGAGAUUCCGUGCUCCGCAUGACCGGAUUCCUCGAGGGACAGGGACAGAGCUGAGAAAUAAACCAAAAAUUAUAUGAGGACUGACCUACCGCAAUAUGAGACUGCGUGACUCGAAUUUUAAAACAGUGUGAAUAAUUUAUAUGUAUAUAUGUAUAUAUAUUUGAUUUUGUGUUCUCGAAAAGAUUAUUUGUUUAUGAGUUGAAAAUUCAACUACAUUACAAAGAAAGAUAUGGAGCACCAGUAAUGUUUCGCAAAACAAUUAAUCAACAAAACCAUUAAAUUUCUUGUUUUUUUUUUUUUUGGAGAAAAAUGUAGCACGCUACCCGCUUCAUUCAUUGGAGAGGUGAAUUAAGCUACAAGUGUGAGGCAACCAGGCCCCGAAAAAAAAAAAAAAAAAAAAAAAAAAAACUCACACACACACACACAAUUACUUAUAGAUGUUUAUGGCCCAAGAAGAAGGUCCCAAUCCAUCACAAGAAGUUUGAGCCUGUGAACCGCAAUCCCAGGGUUCGGAAGAAUAUUACGAAAGAUUGAGUCGUUUCUGAUCUUCCAAAUAAUCCACCAGCAGGCGACUAGAUCGGCAAGCCGAGAUCGCUUCUUAUGUUUAUCCUUCCUGACCUUCCACCUAUCCCACACGAGACUGACUUCCCCCCCGAGGUCUUGGGCCUGAAUAUCGUCCACCCUUGUCGCUAUAAUGAAUUUACAGAAAACGCAGCUGGUAAAUAGAUGGUCCACAGUUUCCUCCUCCGACCCGCAUAGUACACAGGUAGGGUCGUCUAACCACCCUCACUUAGCAAGCUUAUCACGUGUAAGGAUCUUUUUCUUGAGAAUCAACCAGCAAAACACUUUCACUUUUAGAGGGAUUUUAAGGUUCCAUAGAACAGGGGCAUGUGCAUCUCUCGUUCCACCGUCCGUCAAAGCCAAGUAGGUUGAUUUGACCGAAAAGUGUCCAUAAUUUCUUGUUAAAUUUUAGUAUAAAUAUAUAUUAAGUUGUAGUAGCUAUAAAAUUUUCGGGCCGACCCGCUAUUUAAAUUUAAUCCGGCCCAAAAGCGCUCAGGUCCGGCCCACAAAUUUUUUUUUUUUUGGCUAAUUAACGCGUGUACGUACGCUUGCGUAUUCUGUGUACAACUUUAGUUCCCCAGUUGCUUGAGAAACCGAUUAAUUGAAACUUUUGGGGGAAAAAGGCUUAUGCGUCGCAAGAGCCGUUGGACACGGCAGGUUCUGCGGCACUCCCGCCAAGUGUCACAAAGUUUCUCAUUUAAGAACAAACUUGUUUCGGAGAGAAGCGUCGAACAGCUGUUUCAAAGUUAUAUCGGAUUAUAUCAACUUAUUCCAGAGACAGAAAAACUAUUAUUUUUGAAUGCUAAAAAUAAUGUUUGGAAAUAAAAAGAAAGACGAGUAUUUAUUUCUUCCUUGUUUCUGAAUCAAACACUAUUUUAGAAACUUGUUGCCCAAUCCUUGGACAGUGAGGAAUCUACGGAUGAGAUUGCGUGGGCCAUGGUGUUCAUGUACACAUUAUUUGAACGCAUUAUAUUAUAUUUGAUAUAUCUUUUUAAUUUACUUAAAAUUUUGCAAUAUUUGAUAGAUAAGAAUAUGAUGGAAUAUCUAGAAUGAAAUAGUAUAUUCGGUUCCUAGGUUGAUUUUUUAUAGUAAGAUAAAUUAUCUGAUAGAGAAAAUAUUAUAUCAUACUAAAUCGUAAAGACCAAGAGCUUUGAAAGAACAAUAAUCGAUUUAAUCAUAUAAAAAGAAAUUCUCGCAGCAUCGAAUGAGUUUUUAUUGAGUUUAUUAUUCUGAUAUGCAAACAAAGACCUUGAAGUUCCAAACAUACAGCCUCUAACAUUCAUUAGAAUUUAACUUUUUAUAUUCAUCGUUUAGACAUAAAUUUUUGGGGCAAUUUCAUCACUAGCCCUCUUAAACAUGUAAAUAUCACAAAUACUCCUAUAAAAUUAAAAAUAUCAUAUAUACCCCUUCAAAGGUAGAAAAAUAUCACAAUUACCUUUUAUUCUAACUGACGUUAGGGUAAAGUUAUAAAAUGACUAAUUUACCCCUUAAAAGUUGUUUGGGUUAUUCUUUUGAUAACAAAUAAUAGAGGAGUAAUUUCAUGAAUACCCUUCUAAUUUCUAAUACUAAUUAUUGGUGGAUAAAAUAAGUGGAAACCCCUCACCUAUAGGUCAUUUUGAAAUAUACCCCCUUAACUUCAAUUUUUUAACAUUUAGAGAGCCCUUUAACUUUUAGUUUUUUUUUUGUUUUUGCGUUUUACUUAGUUAAAAGUUUUUCAAUUGAGAUCACUCAUACAUGAAUUUGAUAAAAUUUUUAACUUAGUUGGAAAAAAAAAACACUCAAUUGCAAAAGUAAAGAAUCACUACACUUGAGAGGAUGUAUAUAUAUAGAGAGAGAGAGUCAGGCUACUAUACUCUUAUGAGUGUGAUCGCCUUCUUACUCAUAAGUCGUUUUCAAUAAUAAAGCUUCCGAAUUGACGAUCCAUAAUGUUAAAUAUUAUCUAGAAUAUUCAAAACUUCAAGAAAUCAAAUUUUAUAAUUUUUUUAUAUCAUUACGAUCAAAAGAUCUCAAAAUUGACAAUUUUUAAUGGUCAGUAUGGGAUACUUGCUAGUUUAAUGGUGAAAAAAAAUCGGAAUCAAUUGAAUUUUUGAUAGAAAAUUUUAUUUACUAUCUAGAUAAAGNAAAUUUUCAUCGUAUUUUGAUUGUUUUACACCGUUAAACUCAAAAACACACCACAUCAGCCAUUAAAAUUGUCGAUUUUGAGAUUUUUUGAUCACUGGUCAAAUGAUGUCAAAAAAAUCUGAAAUUUAGUUUCCAAAUAUUUUCAAUAGUGUAGAUCAAGUCUAACGAAGCCGAUCGUCGAUUUGGGAGCCGCAUCAUCAAAAACAACUUGGUAGCACGGAGCGCUCCGUGCUACCGAUAGCAUAGUAGCCGGACUAUAUAUAUAUAUAUAUAUAUAUAUAUAUAUAGUCCGGCUACUAUGCUAUCGGUAGCACGGAGCGCUCCGUGCUACCAAGUUGUUUUUGAUGAUGCGGCUCCCAAAUCGACGAUCGGCUUCGUUAGACUUGAUCUACACUAUUGAAAAUAUUUGGAAACUAAAUUUCAGAUUUUUUUGACAUCAUUUGACCAGUGAUCAAAAAAUCUCAAAAUCGACAAUUUUAAUGGCUGAUGUGGUGUGUUUUUGAGUUUAACGGUGUAAAACAAUCAAAAUACGAUGAAAAUUUUAUAGAAAAUUCUUUUCACUAUUUAUAUAAGAUCAGUAUAUCUGAUCUUGAAUUUAAAUCUUUUAUCAUCAUUUUUUAUGAGAUUUUUAUUUUCAGCCGUUCAAUUUUAAACUACUUGUUUGAUAGGUAAAUGAUAUCGAAAAAUUAUGAAAUUUAGUUUCUAAAUACUUUCAAUAGUGUAGAUCAAGUCUAACGGAGCUGAUCGUCGAUUUAGAAACCGCAUCAUCGAAAACAACUUGGUAGCACGGAGCGCUCCAUGCUACCAAUAAUAUAGUAGCCUAGUUCUAUAUAUAUAUAGAGAGAGAGAGAGAGAGAGAGAGAGUUGAGCUGGAAUACUAUCGGUAGCAAACGGGCUCCGUUGUCACCCAUUCAUUUUCGAUGAUGGAGCUUCCAUAUCGACGAUCGGUACUGUUGAACAUGAUUUAUACCACUUGAAGUACCUAGAAAUCAAAUUUCAUGCUUUUCCGAUAUUGUUUUCUUGUCCAUCAAGUGGGCGUAAAAAUAAACAGUUGAAAAUGAAUAUUCUCUAAAAAGUGAUGAUACGAAUUUUGUAAUUAAGAUCGAGAGUAUAGAUCUUGUUCUAAAUAGUUUAAAGAAUUUUUUAACCAAAAUUCAAUUGAUUUGGAUAGCUUUACGCGGUUAAACGAGAAAACACCUCAUAUCUACCAUUAAAAUUACAAAUUUUGAAACCCUUUGAUCAAUAGGUCAACGAUAUCGAAAAGAUUUGAAAUUUGGUUUCUAGAUACUUCAAGUGGUAUAGAUCACAUUCAACGGUGCCGAUCAACGAUUUGAAGGCUCCAUCAUGAAAAACAAAUGGGUGGCAACGGAACCUGUUUGCUACCUAUAGUAUUCCAGCUCAACUCUAUAUAUAUAUAUAGUUCGGCUGGGAUACUAUUGAUAACACCGAGCGUUUGGUGCUAUCAAGUUUUCCGCCGUUAGAUUUAACCCUUUGACUAUUUUCACCCAUUGGAUUAUACUAUUAAGCUAAUAACUCACUCAACUCUAGAGGGCCCACAUCAUCCUAGCCAUAUAUUUCUUCUUCUAAGAGCUGAAAACCUAAUAGCGUCAAUAGCUUGGUGCUAUUGAUAGUAUUCCAGCUUAUAUAUAUAUAUAUAUAGAGAGAGAGAGAGAGAGAGAGAGAGUAGAGCAGAGCUACUAUAUUAUUGGAAGUAUAGAGGAUUUGAUGCUUCCGAUUUUUUGCCCUUAGAUCAACCUCUUUAAUUAUUUCUAACAUUUGAAUUAAUACUAUUACCUUGUGAGGACCACUCAACCCUAGUGGUACUACUCAACCCUAGAGGGGCCGCAAUCAUCCCAACCGUACAAUUUCUUGAUCAAAGGGUCAAAAAAUCGAAAACACCAAAUCUUUUAUGCUUUCAAUAAUAUUGUUACUCUACCCUAUAUAUAUAUAAAAAAAAAGAGAGUUGGGUUAGAAUACUAUUAAUAGUAUUUGUCCUUUUUUGCUAUUAAGUUUUUAGUCUUUAAUAAAUCAAUUUCUUUGAUCAUUUGUAACCAUUGGAUUAAAUAUUAUAAUCCAGUGGAAACCACUCAAUUCUAGAGGAACCACUUAACCAUAAGGUACUAAUAUCAUUCUAACUAUAUAAUUUUUUAUCCAAGUGUUAAAAACUUGAUAGCAAAAGGAGCAAAAUAUUAUCAAUAGUAUUCCAGCCCAACUCUCUCUCUCUCUCUCUCUCUCUCUCUCUCUCUCUCUCUAUAUAUAUAUAUAUAUAUAAAGAGAGAGAAUAUAUAUAUAUAUAGAGAGAGAGAGAGAGAGAGAGAGAGAGAGUUAGACUGUUAUACUAUCGGUAGCACGGAGCCCUUCGUGCUACCAAGUUGUUUUCAAUGAUGUGGUUUCCAAAUCGAUGAUCGGCUCCAUUAGUCUUGAUCUACAGUUUCAAAAGUAUUUGGAAACUAAAUUUAAAAUUUAAAAAUAUAAAUUUAAAAUUUAAAAGUUAACAAUUCAAAAUUUUAAAUUAUAUUUUUUAAAAUGACAUAUUGAAAGAGUUUCGAGAGUUAGAGAAGUAAAAUUGUCAUUUUACAUAAUAUGCAGUAUUACUGGCUUUCAGUAAUUCAAGAUACACGUCCCCCCUCUCAUUAAUAUUUUUGGUGUAAUUCUGUACCAUUUUUAAUACUACAUUACCGACCCGAUUACAUACCGGAUGAACCAAACACGGUAAUCCUGACAGGAUUGCUCGUAAUCCUGUCAGAAUAACCUGAACCAAAUGCACUCUUAUGAGUAUAAAGCCCAUGAGUUGUUUUCAAUGAUGGAGCUUCUGAAUCAAUGAUUCACUCCGUUAAAUAUAAUCUAGAGUAUUUGAAAGUUCUAAAAAAUAAAUUUUGUAAUUUUUUGAAAUUAUAAUAAAGUCUAUCAAGCAGGUAAAAAAUGAACAAUUAAAAUCGAACGGCGUUCUAAAAAUAGAUGAUCAGAUCCUUCAAUUUCAUAUUAGAGUUAUUAAUCUUUAUCUAGAUAGUGAUUAAUCAAAAAUUCAAUCGAUUUCGAUUCUUUUACACUGUUAAACUAGCAAGUAUCUCAUAUUGGCUUUUAAAAUUAUUAAUUUUGAGAUUUUUUAAUCGUAAGGUAAAUAAUGUUAAAAAAAUAUAAAAUUUGAUUUCUACAAGUUUUAAAUACUCUAGAAAAUAUUUAACGGCAUGGAUUAUCGUUUCGAAAAUUUUAUUAUUGAAAACAAGAAUGUGAUAGUAAGACUAAAAAUAUCGGGUGCCAAAAAACAAAAAAUCACAGCCGUCCGCUACGGCUCACUCUCAUCAGAGAAUCAAAACCGUUCAUAACCCUCGCCUCACCAGGAAAAAAGAAACCCUAAUUCCACUCCGCCUCCACGCUCUCCCCCUUAUAUAAACCCUAAACUCCACGUCGAUUCACAGGCCCUCAGUUCCCUUAUUAAUGCUUCGCACAGGGUAAUGUAACUCUUUCUAGGGUUUUUCUUUUCCUUCUUUGUAUUAUUAUUAUUUUUUUAUUUUUAUAUAUAUCUCUCGUUCGGGGUUCUAAAUGAUGUGGAUUUAUCAAAAGGGAACAUCCCAAAAACCAAAAAAAUAAAAAAUUGGGGUGUGAUGAUAUUCCCCUUUAAUUGAAUAGGAAGAUCUGAUAGAUCCCCUUAUUAUCCCAUCUUCUUGUUUUCAGGUUUGUAGCUUUUGUUGUUGGUUUUUUUUAAAAAAAAUAUAUAUAUUUGGGUUUUUUUUUUUUUGAAUUUAUAGCAGCAGUGUGAAUGAUGAGAACAUGUAAAAUAUACAGUUAUCCCUGUCUGAUAAAUUCACAUGAAUGGGUGCUGAGAAAAAUACUCAAUCUGACACUUCUCUGCUGUUUAAUUUUUUUAUAUAAACUAAUUUGUUUAUGCUCUGUUGAUUAUGGUGAUUCUUCAAAUAUAAUUAAAAUUUUAUAUUAGUUUUUUUAAGUUUUUUAGAACAUUUUUAUGAAUUUUUUUUUAUAAUAAAUUGCCGAUGAUGACAUUGCGAGUGGCUGAACAGCAGGUUUAUUUUAUCUGCUGCAUCUUGUUGAAACAAAAUGCAAGAACUAGGACGGUCUGAGGCAUUGAUCUCAUUUUUUUUGUUAUAGAGAAUAAUAAUAUAUCAAACAUAAAUCGUAAAGACCAAGAACUUAUGAAAGAACAAAAAUCGAGGUUUUAGGCAUCGAUAUAGAAAAGAAAUUAUCACUAACAUCGUAAUUGCACUGUUUAUUGAGUAUAUAAUUCUGAUAUGCAAACAAAGACCUUGAAGUUCAAAACAGAGAAGCAUCUAACAUUCAUAUAGGAAUAAUAACUUAAUAUAUUCAUCGAACAGAAACAUCAUAAAAACUAGGGGCAAUUUCAUCACUAGCCCUCUUAAACAUGUAAAUAUCACAAAUACUCCUAUAAAAUUAAAAAUAUCAUAUAUACCUCUUCAAAGGUAGAAAAAUAUCACAAUUACCUUUUAUUCUAACUGACGGUAGGGUAAAGUUAUAAAAUGACUAAUUUACCCCUUAAAAGUUGUUUGGGUUAUUCUUUUGAUAACAAAUAAUAGAGGAGUAAUUUCAUAAAUACCCUUCUAAUUUCUAAUACUAAUUAUUGGUGGAUAAAAUAAGUGGAAACCCCUCACCUAUAGGUCAUUUUGAAAUAUACCUCCUUAACUUCAAUUUUUUAACAUUUAGAGAGCCCUUUAACUUUUAGUUUUUUUUUGUUUUUGCGUUUUACUUAGUUAAAAGUUUUUCAAUUGAGAUCACUCAUACAUGAAUUUGAUAAAAUUUUUAACUUAGUUGGAAAAAAAAAAACACUCAAUUGCAAAAGUAAAGAAUCACUACAGUUGAGAGGAUGUAUAUAUAUAGAGAGAGAGAGUCAGGCUACUAUACUCUUAUGAGUGUGAUCGCCUUCUUACUCAUAAGUCGUUUUCAAUAAUAAAGCUUCCGAAUCGACGAUCCAUAACGUUAAAUAUUAUCUAGAAUAUUCAAAAUUUCAAGAAAUCAAAUUUUAUAAUUUUUUUAUAUCAUUACGAUCAAAAGAUAUCAAAAUUGACAAUUUUUAACGGUCAGUAUGGGAUACUUGCUAGUUUAAUGGUGAAAAAAAAUCGGAAUCAAUUGAAUUUUUGAUAGAAAAUUUUAUUUACUAUCUAGAUAAAGAUCAAUAUAGAAAUUUUGACAGCUCAUUUUAUGCCCACUUGAUGGACGUUAUUAUGAUUUCAAAAAAUCACAAAAUUUAUUUUUUAAAAAUUGCAAACACUCUAGAUCAUAUUUAACAUAGUAAAUCGUCGAUUCGGAAGCUCCAUUAUCGAAAAAACUUAUGAGUACAUAGGGCUCUAUACUUAUAAAAGUAUUGUAGCCCUACUUUUAUAUAUAUAUAUAUAUAUAUAUAUAUAUAUAUAUACCGUAAGAUUUACCCUUUGAUCAUUUCCAUCCGUUAGAUUAUACUAUUAAACCAACCACCCACUCAACCUUAGGGGAUCACUAUUAAUUUAACCGGAGACCACUAUCAUCCUAACCUCACAUCCUUUCAUCCAACGGCUGAAAACUCAAUAGCACCAAGCUAUUGGUGCUAUUAAUUUUUUAGCCAUUGGAUUGAGAAAUAUGCGGUUAGGAUGAUGUGGGUCCCCUAGGGUUGAGUAAGUGGUUGGUUGAAUAGUAUAAUCUAAUGGGUAAAAAUAAUCAAAGAGUUAAAUCUAACGGUGGAAAACUAGAUAGCACCAAAUCCUUGGUGAUAUAUAUAUAUAUAUAUAUAUAUAUAUAUAUAUAGAGUAGAGCUACUAUACUAUUAUGAGUAAUAGGCCCUUCGUACUCAUAAGUUGUUUUCGAUGAUGGAGCUUCCGAAUCGACGAUACACUCCGUUAAAUAUGAUUUAGAGUAUUUGAAAUUUCUAGAAAAUAAAUUUCGUAAUUUUUCAAAAUCAUAAUAAAGUCCAUCAAGCGGGCAUAAAAUGAACGGUCAAAAUCGAACGAUGUCUUAAAAAUGGAUAAUCGGAUCCUUCAAUUUAAGAUCGGAGUUAUUGAUCUUUAUCUAGGUAGUGAAUAGAAUUUUCUAUCAAAAAUUCAACCUAUUCGGAUUCUUUUGCAUCGUUAAACUAGCAAGUAUUUCAUACCGGCCGUUAAAAAUUAUCAAUUUUGUGAGCUUUUGAUCGUAAGGUAAAUGAUGUCGAAAAAUUAUGAAAUUUGAUUUCUAGAUGUUUCAAAUGUUCUAGAUAACAUUUAACGGUGUGGAUCGACGAUUCGGAAGCUCUAUCAUCAAAAACAACUUAUAAGUACGAGGGCGAUCGUACUCAUAAUAGUAUAGUAGCCGGACUAUAUAUAUAUAUAUAUAUAUAUAUAUAUAUAUAUAUAUAUAUAUAUAUAUAGAGAGAGAGAGAGAGAGAGAGAGNACUUAUGUGAGUUAUUUAAAUAAAAUUCAAAAAAAAAAUCUUGAAAUAAUUAAUGUUAAAUACUACAAUGGAUAAUUGCAUUACAACUAUUAUAUAAUUUAAAAGCGAAAAUCAUAACAAGAUUUAAUUAUUACACUUAAUAGAUUGUAGAUUUUUAAUUGUAAAAUUUUAAAGAGAAUGUUGAAUUAUUAUGUGAUUGAAAGGUUAAGAAUUAAUCAUAUAAUUAAUCUUAAAUUAUUACACUUAGUUAAAUUAGUAAUAAGGGUAAAAUUGGUAUUUAAAGAAUUUUAGAUGACUUUUUUAACGGAAUGUUAGUCUUAAGGGUAUUUGUGAAUAUUUUUGCUUUUUAGAGGGGUAUUCUUGAUAUUUUCUAAUUUAGAGGGGUAUUUAUGAAAUUACUGUCUCCUAGAGGGGUAUUGAUGAAAUUAUCCCUAAAUUUUUAUUUGCUUGAUCACUGCAAAAUAUGUAAGCAUGCAGUGAUACUGCAGCUAUUUCAGAGCCAUAGUUCUAUUAAGAGACCGUUUGGUUCAAAAUUUAUAAUAUUUCAAAAAUAUUAUAAAUUUUAUAUCUGGAAUGACAAAUUUAUUAUUAACUUAUCAAGUUAUUUGAAUUAAAAAGUUGUUGAUAUAUAGCUAAUAUAUUUUUAUUAAUGAACUACGCGUGAUUCUCAUUAAGUGUGAAAUAAGAAAACCUCCUAACUACAGUCUAGAAAUUUACAAUGAUUUUACUACUUCACUAAUACAUCCAACAACUAACCAGCUUGAAUUAAAUAGUAAUAAUUUAAAUAUUUUUGAUAAAACAAUUAUUGAAAUAUUAUAAAUUGUAAAUCAAACGGGCCUCUAAAUCAAUCUAGUUGACUUGACCUCCACCAUACGUGUGCAAAAGCGGUAAGACUAGUUCCGACAUUUUUAGCAUCUUCAAGAAUUUAACCUCAUAAUUACGACAAACAUUACCAAUUUCGUUUGAGGAUCUACAAGUCCAAAUUAAUUAUCCUCCACUAAAUCCAGCAAGAUGCCCACUUUCCAAGCAACCUCCUUAAAGAGAAGUUCAUAUUUUUUUAUUUUUUUGGUAUUUGGGAAUCAACUAUAAAAAAAUCCGCCCCACUUAAACAAUUCUCUAAUAAAAAAGUCCACACGCUUAUUUGGGGCCAUGAGAUUCCACGUGGCACCACAUGACUGGCUGCGCACAAACCUCAGCUCCACUUUUUGCCCCGUUGUUUGGUUUCUAAUAACGAGAUGAUGACGCUACGUUGGCUUCGGAGUGUGCUCACUACGAUUCGUGUGGAUCCGUACAUUUGACAAGUCUUCGUAAACCACAACUCCAUAUAAAUUCCCCUCCAAACCUCACCUCUCAAAUCCUUUCAAUGGAAGAGUUCGCGGAGGCCGACGUUUUGUGGCCCGACCGUGUCGGCGACGACGAAGAUCGCAUCGUCGACGUUGCACCGACGCAGCCGCACGAAGCUCGACGCACCGCAUCGGCCCCCAUCGCAGUAUUUCCUUCCAAAGAACGUAGCGAUUCAGUCGCUGCGUCAUUUUCUGAGGCCUUUACUUGCCAUGUAAUCGGUUUCGGUAGAGACGAGGGUGAAGACGGAGAAGAGUCGACGGUCCCGCCGCACAUUGUCGUCUCGCGGAGGUUCUCCGAUAAGGUCGCGUGCUCGGUGUGCACCGGAAAUGGGAGGACGCUCAAGGGGCGCGACCUCUUUCGGUUUAGGAAUUGUGUUCUUCGGAUGACCGGAUUCAUUGAGAGAUAGCAUUGGGAUAAGAAAAUUGAUCGAAGGAUUUAAUUAUUUUGUUUUUGAGGUUAGUUUUUUUUUUUUUUUUUUUUUUUUUUGAAGUUCGUAGGUGUUUGGAAUAUUGAUGCCACUCAUUGUGGCUAAUUGAUUGAUUAGUCUAAUUGCUUUUGAGCAUGUAUGUAUUGUAGGAUGAUGCGUGAAGGAAUUGGUAACAUGUACAUAAAUAUAUAUAUAUAUAUAUAUAUAUCUCUUCAAAGAAAAAUAAGAGAUGAGUGAAACAGUUGAAUACUCCAAUAAAUAUGGAACCUUUGUGAUUUUUUAACUCAGUAGUUUCUCCCAAGAUUAAUUUGUUCAAAAUUAAAUUUUGUUCUUUAUGGGUUGAUUUGUAGGGCUAAUGCUUACAUAGGUAAAUUAGAAGCUAUUUUAGAACUUUAUACGUUAUAAUUAGUUUCAAGCAAAAUGAUUUUGGAAGAGAAAUAUUCCAGCAAACCCACUUAAAAUUUGAGUUGUACAGAUUCUGGUAAAUAUGCAUGUCACACCGUCAUAUUCAUAAGGGUUGAGACUUCAAAUUAUUCUGUCACAAAAACUUACUGUGUGUUUAGAAAGGGGAUAGUCGAAGUGCGAGCUGGGUGAGUCCGAAAAAAAUUAUGCCACUGCUCGAGAUAAGGAAUUCGUAAUGCAGCACAUGAAUAUUGCAUGUUAUAUGAAAACUCGCGAAAUUGACCUCUCACCCAUCCGAUGUCGAAAUCCAAUUAAUGUCUACAAAAUGAAGGGGCCCGGCCCAUACAAAGUUUGAAACUGCCCCUUACCAGUGGGGCCAGCAUGGGAAACAUUGGCCAAACAGUUCGUACUUUGCCUUCUUAGCUUGCCAUUUUAUGGACUAGAUUAGAUGUUAGGUGAAGUGAAGAGUUAACCACAUGUGAAAAUUAGUUAUCUAAUGCCAAGAUUACACAAAACAGAUAGAAUUAAAUGCCAAGAUUACACGAAAGAAAGAAUUAACCACGUGGGCAAAAUUAAAAUAAAAAAACGUGGAACAAGCACAAAGUUGUUUUAAGUGAAGCCGCAUUAAUUGAUUGAGUAGACACCCUAUUUAUGGGUAUCUUAUCCUUGACUACAUCACCUAGGCUGAGAAAAUUCGAAAACAAGAAAAAUAUUGUAUUUGUGUCCAAUUAAUGCUAUAAUAUAAUUUUUACGGUGCCGUCGCUGCAACAAUUAGGCCUUUAAUCUAUGAGCCGCACACACAGAUCAAAUUGCACUAGAAAUUUAUAGUUGCCAUUUUACGGAGCGUUGGGAACGUAUUUAUCCAGGCCUUAUUUUCUUCGUGAUAAGAUAAUUUUGGCAUCUUGGGACAUAAGAGAGAGGUACAUUAAUUGGACCUAGUCAUUGUGUAUCACAUGUCUAACAAAUUUUUUUUUUUUUUUGAGAAAUUGGUAGCAUGCUAUCGCUUCAUUCAAUUAGAUAAAAACUUGGCUACAUAAUGAGGCAACUAAAUCUCUAGUAACUGAGUAGAAAAGGAAAAACACAAAAAGAAAAAAAGAAAAAGGGGAGCAGCAUAGAUCCUUCACAUAAGACAAGAAAAAAUAACAGAAAUAAACGCACCGUCGGAGACUCGUAAGAGAAGGUGUUACAAUACCCAAAGUUUAGCAGACUGAUUCCGAACUAUAUGGAUGUUUGCUAACAUCUAAUUUUGCCAGUGCCUUUUCUUUUGAAAAAUACGCCUGUUCCGUUCGAGUCAGAUAACCCACCAUGCCUAACAAUGGUGAGAAUAAAUUAGUCCACAAAAUAAACAUUCUUUAAACACAACAACCAAAGCUUUCGCAUGAAUGGAAGGAUUCAAACUACACAUUUGACUGGAAUUGAUUUAUGCAUCAUUAACUUCUUUAAAGAUGUGGCGUUUUAAUUUAUCAUCAUAUGAUUCACAACACAGCAAACUAAAUUAAUCAAAUGACAGGAGACAAACGGAAAUCACAUCUUAACUCAGUCCAAAAAGCAAUGAAAGGCAAAAGUAAAAUAAGAUCAGAAACUUGAUUGUUUUAUUCAUUUUUAAGAGUAAUAUAUAUAAGUAUGAAAGUACAUAACAUAUAUAUAUAGACAAGUACAACAGAAUGCCAUAUAUGCAGAUUUUAAUAUGGCAAAACCCUAAGAAAGGUACAAUUGACAUUCUAGUAUGUAUACUAACCGAAUGAAGGUCAUAUAGGCCCUCUCCUCUUAUGUACAACACCAAUCAAGUUAUCAUCUAACAACAGAAUAAGUAUGGAGAGCUAGUUUGAGCAGAGACUGCAGGCUAUUACCUACUUCCCUCUCCUCAAUUUCCUAGAUCUACCUACCACAAAUAAGUAACACGAUGCUCGGCGCGCUAAAUAGCUAAGUACCGAAAGAACCUUUCGCCUACUGGUCUCUUAUCUCUUCAACCUUCAUUCCACAAUUCUACAGCUUCUUAGGAACUCGUCGGAGCUGUUAAGGUAGGCUCGCCAUAUUUGGCGUAGCUCCGGACUUCCGAUCUCAAGCCACGGCUUCCCUGGCCCGCUAAAGUGUAGGACUGCAGAGGAUUCUAUGAGAUCAGGGUCUGGUUUAUGCCACCCUAACCCGGACAAAUGCCAAGAAGGUUCAAUAUGAUGCACGCGGCCAUUGAAAGCGAUUAACGCAGGUGGUAGAGAUCCCAUUUGCCACAGCAUAAAUUCUGAUUCACGGUUCUGCAUGAAGAAGAAGAAAAAUUAGUAAAGACUAAUCUUGAAUUUAGAAACUGUUUGGACUCAUAAACAGAUUGUUGUGGGGAAGAACAACUUGCUUUUCUGAGCCAGAACUGAUAGGUUUGUGUAAUGUCAGUCCUUCUCCACGCUUUGAGAUCGAAGACAUUCACACCCCAUGACCAUGCACAUUGGUUUCUAUGUAUACCUAAUGAUGGCGAUGAUAAAAUAGGAUUUGAGUAGUUCAAGUAGUCACCAAGUUCCCUCUCACCGCAAAAACCAUCACUCUCUUGUAGGCCAACUGCGCCAACGACAUUCCCUUUGAGAUUUAGAUCCCACAGCCCAUUCAAUUCUUUUCGCACGACAACAUCAUCAUCAAGGACGAUCACUCGAUCAAGCUUUGGAAAUAGCUACAUACAUGAAAAGUUGGCAGCUUAUCAGCUCUAAAGUUUACCAUAAACUAAGGGCCUGUUUAGCCAUAUUGGAACUUUUGCAAAAGUGAUGUUUGACUAGCGCUUAUCAAAAGCAUCAACACCUAGUUUGGUAAUGCGUUUAUAGAAGUACCCAAUUUAUACCUUAGAAGGUCCAAAAAAGUCCAAAAGUGCUUUCAAUCUUCCCUAUGUUUAUGCUACAAAAUUGCGACGGUUGUCAACUUAUACUUUAGAAAAUCCAAAAAGUCCAAAAGCACUUUCAAUCUUCCAAUGUUUAUGCUUUGAAAUUGCGACGUCAACCGCCAUCGGAGAAACAUGUGAUUACACUGAAAUUUCAUAGCAUAAAUGAAGGGAAGUUUGAAAGUGCUAUUGAACUUUGGGACCUUUCAAAUAUAAAAUUGGAUGCAUUUGGAAAUGCAUUACCAAACUAGGCCUAAGACAUUUUUUCACUUAAGUUUUGUAAAGAAAAAGUCUCAAGUGGGCACAGUCGGCACAAUGGGCACUGUCAACAUUUCUCUACUUUUAAGAUCCAAAAGCUCUCUUUUCAACUUUGUGCCAUAGCAAAAGUUUUAAAUUUUUAUUUAUCAAAUUCCUAGUUUCUAAAAACUAUUGCUCUUUGGAGUAGACUAAUCAAGAAGCCAGCCCAGGUCAAACAAGCACUAAGCAUGAUAUGCGUCAACACGACCCGACUGCUUUACCUGUGGGAGAUGGAUCUUCAUAUAAUUCAAGAUUGAAAGUGUGCUUGGUUUUAAAGCUUCCAGUCUUCUAUACUCUUUAUCAAUUCCAUUGUAGACAUCAAAAUUGAAUGAGCUCUUAUGAAUCUCAUCUACAGUUCUCAUGAUCAAUGCAUUCACGCGUGGGGGCCAAUCGAACUGGUGAAGGCCCUUGACCUCCAAAAUGCCAGGAAAGGUCGGGUGAAGGGCGAACCACGCGUGCAUCGAGUUGUAGGUCUUCUUGUCUGUGACAAUGUGGAAGACUAUCUUACUAGGAUUUGCAGAACUUUUCAAGGUGGAAGAUACGGCAACAGCAGCUGCGAGGACAUUGUCUGUUAUGAGGGCAAUAUGAAGGUACAGGGAAUUGGUCAGGCGAGAGGCGUACUCGGGCGGCGGAAGUGAGGAUCUGCCAGCUGCAUUCACAGAGUAUUCUUCUGCCAUUCUAAGGUUGAGGCAGUGCAUGCUUUUCGGGAUCCCAAUUGAAGCCAAUCUUCGGUAGUACAGAGCACGAAGUUUAGCUGUUUGUACCUUCUGGUCCAUCUUCAGAAGCUGUGUAGAAUACAUUUCAUUAAGAUAGAUAUGAUAAAAUUUCAAACAUAAUCACGUGAUAUUGAAACACGCAAAUUUAGUAAUUGAAAUGAGAUCAAUCACUUGAUAGAGUAAAAGUUUCACUGUACAUUAAUUUGAUAACAUUUCCAUUGAAUAUAAGGAGAAGUCAGAAGAGACAAUUGUUAUGUAAAAGGACCUUAUGAUAAUGUACUUCAGAAACAAUUAUAUUUCAGUUUCUUUACAUCAGAAAACAAACUAAUCAUCACCCAACAAACAAAGUUACCUUAAGCAAGAAGUUCAUGGCCUAAUCAACGACAAUAAUAGAUCUAAGUUGAACAUUAGCAAGCUAAUGACUUACAGGAUAACAUUUGAUUUUCAAAUAAUUUUUAUUAUUUCCGCAAUAGGCAGAGAUUAACUUAAACGUCAAAAUUAAAUUUUCGAACAUCAAAGUUCAUAGAAAAUUCCAGUAAUAGGAUGUUUCCAAGUUAAGGUACCAUGGCCUUGGUCUUCAGCACAAACAUUUUGAUAUCGAAAUGCUCAUAGGAGGAUGAGGACCCCAUCUCCACAAUCAGGUCAUCCAAUGAUUCAGGUGCAGCCUCCAAAUUUGCAGGAUCUAUAUGACUUCCUCCCAUUGUUUCAUCCAUGUAAGCUCUCCUCAACUCCUUCAUAAGAUCCUGCGCCGGGGUUCAUAAUUUCAAAGUUAUUGACUUAUCCAGCAAUUUAAUUCCCGUGACAAUUUUUUUUUUCAAGUUUCAUAAUGAAUUGCCGAUCAACACUCAAAGUUGCGAUGCAGCACAAGUUCAAGGACGAGAGCAACAACGGAGAAAGGGUAAAAUGAUGCUGUAACUCAACAAGGAAAAUUAUUUACUCACAAAUGUUUUACAUGUUCAUAAAAAUUCGUGCAUCUGACCAGAUGACUUCAUGUGUGGCGCCCCCACGACGAGUUAUAGAUUAUUAGACUUACAGGCACAUAAAAAAUUGCACCGAGUAUAGAUUUACAGAGUUAAUUACAGAUGGAGUUCUGUAAGGCGUGGUCGGACAAAUGGUCAUUAGUUUUACGAUCAUGAUAGUUCGGAAACGGCACACGCAUUUUCGUUCUGGAAAUUGGUAGUGCCGACCGUUUAUUAUAUGGCUUAAUAUCUGCGAAACAACUGCAUAAAUGCUUCCAUAUAAUUUUGGCAAACACGAUCCAUCAAACCAUGCCGAAAUUUUGGGGUCAAUGUCACAUAAUUCAAAGUAUGUGGUAAUCUCAUAAUAUGGGAGUAAAUAACAUAUAUAUAUUAUACAAAAUAUCACAAAAAAUGAAGAAUGUAUAUGGUGAAUUCAAUUGGCAGGAUAAAAUGGGAAACGGAGGAAUUGUCGCUUGGACCUGGUCCACCACAUUACCUGUGGACCACCAAGCAAACAGUCCAUUAUUGACGUGGUGAACCCGGUCCACAUAUAAUAAUGUCUUAUAGCAGAGUAAAAUCUCACAGACACUACUUCUGGUAGCCACCCAAAAUUAGCUACAAAAGCAAACUAUUGCCUACACCCGGUGCAUCCGAUGCACGGCAUCUUAUAGUUUAAAUAUAAAUAUAAAUAUAAAUAUAAAUAUAAAUAACCCAGCUAAGCGGGUGCACGAACUGUUAUGAUGAACCUGGUGUAGGCAACAAUUCCUGAGCUAGCGAGAGUGGAAAGGGAACGAACAAUUUCCCGUGAGUCACUCCCCUUGGAUUGUAGUUCUCUUCGGAGAAAGUGGAAUAAUUGCGCCAUGAACUUCUCUUAUUUAUUUUAUAUAUAUAUAUAUAUAACACCCUUUAUUAAAACCAUUAUUACUCUGUAGCAUCUAUCGCCAAAGAAUGUAUUUGUAAAAUUAUACCACGCGAAACUAUUUAGUAAACUGCUGUAAAAUUCGUAAAUAUAUAUAUAUACAUAUAUAUAUUGAAUUAAAGCAACUCACCAGAGACGGAUCACUUCCCCAUAAGAACCGAGUCCAUUGCACGCAACCUAAAUUAAAUCUAAGUUAUAACCAAAUUCAAAAUCACACAAAUGAGAAUUGAAAAGGGGGGGAAUGAACUUACUAAUAGAUGGGCAAAGAGUGGCCCCAGCUUCGAGGGCGAGAAAAGCGCUUCUGAUGAAGACGAAGGGCAAGAGAAUCCCCAGCAGGAGUGCGGUGGGAAUAAGCGAGCGGUAAGGGUACCUCCGAUUCGUCCCCUUCACCACCUUCAUCUCUCUCUCUCGUUCUCACAAUGCGAUCUCCACAAUUUUCCGCUUCUUCUUCUUCCCCAGCAUGAUAUUUAGGGUUUCGAUCGGGGUUUCGAACCGCGCGACUUGGCGAAGCGCUUUUGAGGAGAGAUAAGGGGGAGAGAGAGAGAGAGAGAGAGAGAGAGAAGCCGCGUUCGAAAACGCGGGGGAUGGGAUGGUUCGGGAGGGGCGAGGAGGGGAGAGAUGAAGAGGUGGAGUGGAGUGGACGGAGUUCCGAAAAUGCCCCUAGAGAAUUUGGUUUAUUACUGGCGAGACCACCGACAGAUGGGGGCGAAAGUGACAGGUUUCCCUCACUAUUAUGGGAAAACUUCAAAUACCAUCCUCGUGCAUUUUUUCGCUUUACUACUCUAUAAUUUAAAAUGUAUCAAUUUAGUACCAUAUGAUUUGGCACUUUCUCACUUUAUUGUGAUUUAAAGUGUAUCAAUUUAGUACCUGCGGUUUUUUUUUUCUUUUCAUCGGCUCCUCUGUUAAUAUUUCGUUAAAUUAUAUACAAAAAAUUUCAGACACCCUACCUAGUUAAAUUAAUAUUUCACACUUUUUCACUUUAGUACUCUGUAGUUUAAAGUGUAUCAAUUUAGUACCCUGUGAUUUCGCACUUUCUCACUUUCACACUUUUUCACUUUAGUACUCUGUAGUUUAAAGUGUAUCAAUUUAGUACCCUGUGAUUUCGCACUUUCUCACUUUAGUAUCAUGUGGUUUAAAAUGCAUCAACUUAGUACCCUGUGGUUUUAUUUUUCUCUUUUCGUCAGCUCCUCUGUUAAUAUUUCGUUAAAUUAUAUACAAAAAACUUCAGAUACCUUAUAUAUGUUUAUUGAAUAUUUACUUUAAUACCCUUUAAUUUUAACUUUGUCAUUUUUUUUCCUUCGUUAAUAUUUUAUUAAACUAUAUACAAAAAAACCUUCAGAUAUCCUAUCUGGGUUUAUUGAAUAUUCACUUUAGUAUCUUUUAAUUUUAACGCUGUCACUGAUUUAACGAAAGAAAAUUAGUGAAAUGGAUAAUAAAUAGAGAAAAAUAAAACCACAGGAUACUAAAGUGAGAAAGAGCAAAAUCACAUGGACUAACUUGAUACAUUUUAAAUUAUAGAGUACUAAAGUGAAAAAAUGUGAAACCACACGGUGGUAUUUGAAGUUUACCCAACUAUUAUUGCUCUUGGGCUCAACACUUUUAGAUUUUGGGCUUAUAGGAAUCGCACCAAAUUUCCCCCAAUAAUCAUUCCUUAGACCCCGUCCACCUUUUCAUCUGUGAACCACUCUCUGCGCUAGUACUAGUAACUCAGGCUUAAGUAUUUAGUGUAAAUAAUUUGGGCUCCACCACAAAUUACUAAUAAUAUUACUGAAACGGAAUAUAUUAUAUGAUAUCACCAUAAAGAAUAUAAUUAUAUUUUAAAUUUUGAACCAACGGUAAUUUUAUAGACGGUGGUGAUUGGAACUAAAAAAAUAAAAAUAUAUAAAAUUUAAUUUUAUUAUAUAAUCUUUCAUUUUUUUUUAAUUUGAAUCAGUUAAUAAUUUUUAAAUUUUCAAAUUCAAAUACGUUAUUUAUCUUUACCAUACAAUUCAGCAAAAUAAAUAAUCAAUUUAAAUUUGUAUUAGAAGAGUCAUCAAUUAAAUUUAAAAAUAUAAAUUAAAUGGUCAACUAUUAAAACUAAAAUUUUGUAAAAUGAUCUAUCGUUCAAAUAAGUUCGAUACAUUUUUAAUAAUAAAUAAAAGGACAUAGUGGACCAGGUCCAGGCAACAGUUUCUCCAAUUUUGGUACCCAGCUAAUGCUGACGAAUCAGACAACGUCAGCAUGCUGUACUGGGUGGAGUGAGAGCUUGCAUAAUAAAAAGCAGCUAGAAAAAACAAAUUAUCUUUUGUAUUUUUGUUUUUUCUUUCCCUUUCUCAUAACUCAUCCUAAAUUUACGCUAUUCUAAUUCGAAAAAGCGAAAAAAUAAAAUGUUCAUGCUUGCUUUAUGUUUAGUUGAGAGAUCGAAAAUUCCAUUUCAAAAACAGGAACACAAUAACAAUUAUUGAGUAGCUCGAAAAAUAAAUUAUCAUUCGCUGUCAUUUAUUUAUAUAUAAACGAGUAGUAUGAGUGUUAAUUAACAUCUAUGUUGUUGUCAAUUACUAAAAAUGUAGUGUGGAAAAUGUUAGUAGCUAGUGUAGCGAUCUACCAAAUACGUAUCAAACCUAUCAUAAUCACAGUGCAACCUAAAGCCGUAUUUAACCUGUGCACAUCAGUCCUUUCCCUAUUAAUUUGGAGCUCAAAGUGUGACAACAAGUUUUGGUACCUCAUUUUAUAGUACGUAAAGAGCUAUCUAACUAUCUCAUCGUCCGCUGCUUCGUUGCAUAUAGCGGUAAUUAAAAAGAUUCUUUCAAACCGGUCUCAUUCUCUGAGUGAAAGGUAUCUGAUAAUUUUUUUUUUAUUUAAUUUUCUACUUUCCAAAUUGUCUCAUACUUCUAAAGUAGAAAUCCCAAAACAUUGCAUUAUAAAUAAAGAAAGGCUAUAGUCUUAAUUCGAUGUCUGAAUAAAUUAUCCGGUAACACCUUUUUUGGUAUAAAAAUAAUUUUAUUGUGGCCAAAUGUUUAAAAUAAAAUAGCAUAUUUAAUCUUCAAAUUAUUUUUUUGUAAUAAAAUAAAUUAUCUCAUAAGUAAAAUAGAGGAACAAUUGCUUAUAUAUUUUUGAAAAAUUUUCGACUUUCUGAUUUCUUUCUCUUAGAAGACUAAUAUUAAAAAUAUCCUUUUACCGUUCCAAGUUAUUUCAAAUAUACCCCUGGAGUUAAAUUAGGUUAGUGAACUGUUAGCAACAACCGUUAUCUUUGUGAAAUUACUAUUUUGCCUUUUUAAAUAUACUCUUCUACCGUCAACUAUUUUUCCUAUUUGCCUUUAAUAUAAGGGCAAAAGAUGUAUUUUAAUUUUUUAUCUUUUCAAAUAUAUCCUUCUAUCAUCAUCGGCUUUUCUUAUUUGCCACUAAGUUAAGGAUAAAAGAGGUAUUUGUAUUUUUUUAAAAAAAAUUCAGGUAAAAAUUUAAUCCGAAUUUAAUUUGAGAUAACUUAAUAGAUACUAACAGCGGAGAUAUUUUUGAAUAAUAUAAACUAUACAAAGAGCAGGUUUCAAACAAAAAGAAAAGUAAGAAUAAAUUAGAUAUUUUAAAAAUUUUCAAGAGCAUAUUGGAUAUUAUUUCUAAAAUAUAAUAUUCU
This 51607-nucleotide long non-coding RNA is filed under the name Ananas comosus (pineapple). RNAcentral describes it as "long non-coding RNA (ACOM_LNC018806)". The stretch from base 37459 to 37555 matches the Rfam family "Small nucleolar RNA R38". The record is from RNAcentral. Lineage: Eukaryota; Viridiplantae; Streptophyta; Magnoliopsida; Poales; Bromeliaceae.